This 48861-nucleotide long non-coding RNA is filed under the name Populus tremula. RNAcentral's name for it is "long non-coding RNA (PTRE_LNC002061)". Lineage: Eukaryota; Viridiplantae; Streptophyta; Magnoliopsida; Malpighiales; Salicaceae. The record is from RNAcentral.
UACCGCUUCUUUUCCUUCAAACGCAAUCUCGUCCUACGUUCCAGGGAAUCUUUUUACCUAAUCUCUUAAUAUAUAUUUGAAUGGCAUCUUGGCUUAAGCUCCUUCAAUUAUUGCUUUCGAAUAUUCUCAUGGUAUUGCUCUUUGUUUUUGAGGAUCCAAUUAAUAAGCAAAUCAUGGAGACUUGGCUGUUGACCCUCAACACUCUCGUCUGCAUUGACUCCUUCAAUAUCUUGGAUGUGAACCAGGCUUGGAAUAUUGGGUGUUCUUGUUUUUGAUACAUGUAAAGAGGUAAGCUAAGCAUCUCUUUCAAGAUCUCUCUAGCUGCUGCAGGGAUGCCAAAUCGCUUUCUUUCUUCAAGUUCCUUAGCAGGAGUAUUGUAUAGCAACCAACUUUCUUUGGGUUUUGCUCCAGGUUUGGGCCAAUUUUGAUGCCUUCUGUGAAUCCCUCCAUCUGGGCUUAUCAAAAGAGGAGGAAAGAAGUAAGUUUCUCUUCUCAGUUUCAGUGUUUCAGUACGCCAUAACACCAUCUCCAGCUUCUUUCAGAAGAGCAGUUCGAAGCAUUCGCAGAGCAGAAAAUAGUUUGGCGGACAGGUUCUGUCAUGUUAAAAGUUCAAUAGAUGGUCAGGAAUCUCAUCAAUCAUGAUGAAUGAAGAGAACAAAAACCCAAGACAUAAGCAUACCAAGUCCACUUCAGAUUGAGGUUGGGCAGGACUACAAGCUUGUGGAGGACUUAACUUCCCAGACAUUAGAGAGCCUUUUGCUGGAGUAGCCUCGGAUUUGCCCUGUUUUGAAGCUUUUACAGAGGAAGGGAAUCUACAAGGAGCAUGAGAUACCAGAAUGAGCAUCCUACCUGUUCAUUUCAGCUAUGAAAAACAGAAAGGUUAAAUGAUGAUAGUUUGUCCAGAGGAUCAUAAUAUGUGAGGCUAAGCAAAGCACAAGGCUAAGCUUGCUGGCUUCAUCCAACUCUUGGUCUCCAUAAUUUAGUCAAAGCCACCCUCGCUAAUGCUAUAUGUAAAUUGUAAAUUUUAUAACCAGUCGCUCCAAAGUUAAACAUCUGGACCAACCAACACAAAACUUACUCGGGCCAGAUUUCUGACAGCUUCAUCUGAAUUUCUUUGCAAAAACAUGUGUUUUGCAUAGGUUUUGCCCAAUGAAAGGGUAUGGUUUAGACCGAACAAUCCAACCCAAAUGAACUAAGACCUUGUCGGUUCUAUUUUCUCUUAUGCUCAAUAUCCACAUGCUUCUUCAGAGAAUAAUCAAAAGAAGCAUACAUUUGGCACUUUUCUUAUGCUCAAUAUCCACAUGCAUUUGGCAAUAGAGCACUGGCAUAAGUCUAAUGAAACAUGUACUCAAAAGAAGCAUGCUGAAAGGCUGCACCUUAAAACAAUCCUUUGCCCGCCAGAGCAUAGUUUGUGUGCCUUGGAUUCAUUCACCUGAAAGAAAUUAAAAUGAUCAUUUAACAUGAGAAAUUAAACAAUGAGAAUGGUAGAGUCGCUCUCUCUAUCACACUGAGUUAAGCUCUAUAUAGAAUUUGAAAAACCACAAGCACCUUUAACACUGACGAUACAGAUCUGUAAAUGUCACUUUUCUUAACUAUUUUGCAUUGUAUGAACCCAUUCUGACAAUAUAUCAAACCAGAAAGCAUGAAACCAACUCUUAAGAUGCCCUAAGCUUCAAAUUUAUAAUUAGAAGGCAAUAUCAAUUGAUAUUUUUUGCUAGAAUACUGGUAAUGUAGAUGACACUCACUUAGCAACUUUCUCUGGCGUGACAUAUAACAACUUGUAUUUACAAUAAUCAGAACAAAGUUCCCUUAGGAUCUCCUGUUGUUCAGUCCACUCCAUGUUGGCACUCAGGUAAGCAGCAGGAAUUUUUGCCUAUAGCACAAACCAAUAGGUAAGAAAAAUGCAUGCCACUAAAUGAGCAGUUUGCAGUAACCAAAGGAAAAUAAAUGCUUGACUAAAUUAGUAAGAUAGCUAGCAUACCUGUAAAAGGUGCAUUAUUUGAUCUUGGAUCAGCGACACGAGUGGAGAAAUUACUAAGGUUAUUCCAGGACAAACUAGAGCAGGAAGCUGCGUGAAUCAUUAAAAAAAAAAAAAAAAGAGUGGGUCCAUUGUUAAAACUGUGAACCAAGAAAAAGUUUAAUUUCCCAGUAUCACCAAAAAUUCAAAGAUAAAGAAAAUUUAGCCAAGCUGGUAUUCUAGAAUCAAUUCAAAUGCAAAAUAUUGUCAGAGAUAUGACUCUGGAAGUUAAACAGAUUGUCACAAAUGGAAACAGCAAAAUAAUGGAAAUUAAAUGAAACUAAAGCUGUGUCUAACAGAAUUAGACUUUAUUAGAGCUGAAUGAUCACCUGAUAUGUCAGACUUUUUCCACCUCCUGUUGGCAUUAAAACAAAGACAUCAUACCCACUCAUUGUAGCAUUGAUUACCUCUCUUUGAUUGGGGCGAAACGAGUGAUUUCCAAACACUUUUUUGUUAUUGGCCUAGCAGCAAACCAAGCAAACAGUAAUAUAGUAUGUAAUGAAACUAGUGAUUGAUAAAAUUCUAAGAAAUGGGUAAAAAUCUAGAGCAAAAGAGCACCUCCAGCUUUUUUGUCCAUGGGAAAUUUGUGCUGCUCCACUUUGAGCCUUCGAUAUAAUUAACUUCAACAAAGCUUGGAAUGUAAGGUUCUCUCUCUAAAGGAACAGAAGAAACAUCAAAGCUAUCAAUGGAAGAGAAUGAAACUGAGGGUGCAUUCCACUUUUCAUAUCCAUUCAGGUCAUUUCGUAGAUGAACCUGGGCAUCAAAUCUCAUGGGAUCUAUUUUGCAUGCAGCAGAUUGAGGUGUUUCAUACUGCAAAUUUCGAACCAAUGUGGAUGCAGAACAAUGUGACUUCUGUCUUUCCUUAUCACGAAGAUAUUUUUCAAGUUGCUGAAUUUGCUUAUUGAGCUGUGACCUAUUUAUGAAAACAGAAAUAGACAUGCAUAAGAGAGCAAAUCUAACAAUCAUUCGAGCUUAUCUCCCAAGAAAAGGAGCUGAGAGUGUUUUACAAAAUGCAAAAAGACAAUGGAGCAUAUUUUUCAUGUCUAUCAUACUAUAUUUCCUUCCAUGUAAUCCCAGAAUUCCUCUGCCAUACUCUAUUUCUAUUCUUCCUGUGAACUUUGGUUCACCUAUUGUGGCUCCAUUGAACCAAAAAAACCCAUGCAUCAAAAGGUAGUAUGAUAUCAUGGGAGAAGAAAAAGGAGAAGAAGCACAACCUAUCUUGGCGAAGCUUAUCUAUUUGCGCUUGACUCAGUUCAGCAGCAUUGUCAAGCAGAUCAUUUGAUACUGCAAUCAGCAUAUCCUUCAUUUCUUGUAAAUGUUUGGCAGCUUCUGGGCAAAGUCCUAGCUGUAAUGAUUUAAGAAUCAGGCAGAUCAAGAUGAGAAUAGAAUAGAACAGUGCAAAUAUAGUGCCCAAACCUUGAAUCCAUGACUGCAGUUUGAACACAACUCAGGUGGCACAGAAAUCUCCUCUGGCCUUGUAAAACUAUUUUGAUCUGCAGUUGGAGUUAUGAGCGGAAACUUAGAAAUUGCUGGUUGCGGUGUGCAAGUAGCUUGGUAGUGCUCCAUAACAAUUUGGUCCACAUCUAUACUCUGCCACCAAGCUAACAUGUGCAAGGAGCAUGAGAUACCAGAAUGAGCAUCCUACCUGUUCAUUUCAGCUAUGAAAAACAUCGAUGUUUGUUUCAUAGCAUCAUCACCAAUGUAUUAGCUCCCAUGAUUUAAAGAACUAUAUAUAUGUUAAAUCUAUUUCUUUUUUAUUCAUUUCGAUUUAUUUAUCCAUCAAAUCAAUGGAAAUCUUCAUUUUCAGACACUUGAAAAGCGCACAAAAUAGAAAAAAUUAAAAUUAAAAACCAACAAAAUUGAAAAACCUGGAAAUGUAAAAACUUGAAGAAAUAAAAAAAAAAAUUAUUGGAAAAGUAAGGUCAUUACAUAUAUACUAUAUAACUCAUACUAUUAGAGACAGAAUCUGAUCACAUAUAAUUAAUUAAAUCCAUUAUUGCUGAGAAUUACAUGCACGUAAUACAUAUUGAAGAAACUAAGAACAGCAACAUAUUUAUUUAAUUAGACUGAUGCUAAGAACAUCGAUUAUCACUACAAACAGUACUCAAACAUAAACAGAUUGACGCUCCAUGCAAAUAAUAGCUAGUUAGCUCUUGUCACUUCAACCCAAACCUCCUCACCAAACAGCAUGAAACUACUCCUCCUCUUAGCUUCAACCCUGAACUGUGACCCCAGGUUCUGGUCAUCCUCACGAUGAAGAACAACCAUGUCACCAACUCUCAGUCCAUAAUCAGCAACAAAUUGAAGCCAGCCCAUAGAAAGCACUGGAUUUUCACCAUUUCUCUUCAGGCAACGAAUGACUCGAAGCUCACCAUAGCAAUCUCUAACAUUCAAAUCAACAUAAUUAUUUCCAGCAAAAUCUAAAUGCUCUAAGCAAUGAGUUGGGAACGAGAACCGCACACGAACAUCAGUAUCAGUUAACACUUUGCUGAAGAUCUGCAUUUUUUUCUCAAGGGUCGUAAAAAGAGAGAGAAAUGGUUAUGUUUAAGCUAUCUACCGGAUUGAUACACUUGCUCAAGAUAUUGUUAAUUAGUGGAGACAAAGUGGAGACAAACAAUGUCCCACCAUAUUGCAAGUGGAAAUAUCUAACAUGGUGGAGAUGGUGGGCAUAAAUCAUGGUAUAUAUGUAUGCUCAGUAAAGAGUUCGACUGAUUUGAAAUGCUCGGUGUCUGUGUUGUGUGCAUGUAGCCCAAAGAAUAAAUAGUGUUUGUGUCAUCGACCGAGAGCGUCAGCACUGUGGGCGUGCAAUGACGUUUCUACUCGGAGGAGGCUAUGUGAUUUCUUUUUGACAGGCAGCGGUUUAUUUUCUUUAUUCUUUAUUAUUUUUUCCCAAAGGGUUCCUAUUAAGAUAGAAAGGACACAUGGUUCAGACAAAAAAAAAAAACAUAUUUAUCUUGUAAUCAUAUUUAUUUUUAUAUUUUAUAUUUAUCUCUCUAACCCGAAACAUGUUUGUUCUUUUUAUAUUUAUAUUUGUACUUUCUAUUUUAAAACAAUAAUCAGUGCAUUAAUUAGACAGACAAUUACUAUCCAAUCACAAUUAGUUUCACAAUUUACACGGCUGAAUCUUGAAACACCAGCCCAGUUAUUGGCCAUCUUAAGCUUCAAACGCAACUGCUGAAACCUUCUAGCUCACUCUUGACUUCCAUCUGGAAGUGCUUCGCCGUUAAUGCCAUGAUAUCCUCUUGUAUAUUUUACAUUGCUAUUUUUUUUUUUAAUAGUGGUCUUCAUUGAAAAUUAUUAUUAUUUUUUAAUUUAUCAUUUGACAUUUGAUUAUUAAACCCUUAACUUUAUUAGUUUACAUUUUUUUUAUUGAGUUAUCUCGAUCUCAUAUUUCGACUAAGAGGUUAGUCAAGUUAACCAUGAUUGCCUCAUUUUUUUUCCUUUGAUUUUUUUAUAAAAUUGAAUUUUUUAAAACAAUUUCAUACUUUGGUGUUAAAUUAUUGGUCCUUGAGCUAAGUGAUUUUUUCAAUUUUUCAAUUUUUUUUUAAUUUUGGGUUAUUCCGAGUACAGGUUAAUCAAGUUAACCCGGGUUAGCUUGCAUUUUCUUACUCGAUGUCUUUUUAUUUGACUUUAGUCUUUUUGCUAGGUCCUUUUUUUGGAAGUUUAAUUUUUUUAAUCCUGAUCUCAUGUCGCGAGUGGUGAGUCAAUCGAGAUAACCCGAGUUGACUUGGUGUUCCCUAAUUUUUUUAUGACUUUGUUUUUAUUUUUUAAUUUAUCAUUUUGCAUUAACUUAUUUGCCCUAGGCUUUGUUAUUUUUUUGCUUCUCCUUCUAUUUCAUUAUUUCAAGAGUGGGUAGUUGAUCAAGUUCACUAGAGUCAACUUGCAUUUUUGUUCACAAUGUUUUUUUAUUUAACUUAGACAUUUUUUGCCUAGCCUUUUUUUGGAGAUCUAUUUUUUUUCCCAUCAAUAUCUCAUGGCGUGUAUGAUGGGUUAGUUAAGUUAACCUAGGUUGACUGAGAUUUUUUUCCCUUGAAUUUUUCUUAUGAUUUUUUUUUCAAUUUCAUCAUUUUACAUUAAAUUAUUUUCCCUUGAGCUUUUUUAUUUUUUCACUUUUCUUACUAUUUGGUUAUUCCGAUGGUGGGUUGGUAAGUUAACAAGGAUUGACUCUACUUUUUUUUUUUUGACAUUUUUUUCAUCAAACUUUGGUUUUUUUACUAGGUCAUCCUUUUGAAUUUUUUUUUUAUCCUAAAAUCAUAUCAUGGGUUGUUGGUUUGUCAAGUUUUCCGAGCUGACUCGGGUUUUCUUCUUUGGCGUUGUAUUUUUUGAAGCUUUUUUUUUCAUCUUUAACAUUAGGUUAUUAGGCCUUGAAGUUUCUAAAUUUCAUUUUUUUUCUUUUUAUUGGUUCUUUCGGUCUUAUAUCUUAGGCUGCGUUUUAGUUAAUUUAACCAGAUUCUCUCAUAUUAUCAUCGUUUGAAUAUCCUUUUUUUACUGUUGGAAAAAGUUUGGUCCGACCCUCGGUGUGGCACAGGCCACCUUCUUUCCAAUGAACAACACUUAAAUAGUAGCAUUCAAGGAGAGGAACAAUGAUUUCCCUCCAUUAAUUUUUGUUGAUAGACUAGAUCGUUGACCUGCUUUACGCCUCAGGUUAGAUCAAUUUUUUUUUAGCAUACAAAAGAAACAUCCAGACAUUGCUAAUAUUUUUCAAGUAAAUAUUUUUAAAACAGCGUGGAGGUUGAGCCGAGUAACCUGAUCGACCUGAUGGAUUUAAGUAACCCCAUACAACCUGUAAAAACGUUGUUUGAUUAACAAAAAUUCAUGACAAACAUCUUUUUUUUAAAAAAUAAUAUUAGAAUGACAACAUAUUGAAUCGAUUCAGGCUAACAUGGAUUAAUCUGUCAAAUCGACGACCUAGAUUAUAAGCCCACGAUAACCCUAUAAAAAAUAAUUCAAAACAAAUUACAAAACUCAAUUCCCAAUCAACUCAUUGUUGAAGAAUGUAAAUGAAAAUAAUUAAUUAAACAAUAACAAAAACAUAUCUAGGUUAACCUCCCAAUCCUGUGAUCUGGGUCAUGAUAUCAAGAUAACCUCAUGAAAAGUAGACAAAAAAAUUACUUGUUUAACCCAGAUUAAUAUGUCGAACCUGCGACCAAGGUCAUGAUAUUGUGAUAACCCCAUUAAAAGAAAAUCAAAAUAAAUUAUAAAGCCUAAUUUUUAAUGAACUAUUGUUAAAGGUUGAAAAUGAAAAAAAAUCAAUUUUGAAAAUAGAACACAGUGAAAAAACUUGAGUCUACCCGGGUUAACCCGCAAAACACGUGACCCGAGCAUAAGACUAUAUAACCUCAUAGAAAACAAAAUAAAAUAAAUCAGGAAGUCUAAUUCACAAUCAAACCAAUGCCGAAUCAUGAAAUAUAAAAAAUGCCAAUGAAAAAGUAAAAAAAAUAAUAAUCAAGUCAACAGAGUUAACUCACCAAACCCACGACUCGAGUCAUAAGGCUGAGAGAACCUCAUAAAAAAUAAAUCAAAAUAAAUCAUGAAACCUAAUUCUCAGUCAACUUGAUGUUGAAUAAUUAAAUUGAAAAACAAUGGUCAAUUAAAAAGAGUGAAAACAAACUCGAGUUAACCCGCCAAACCUUAAACACGGGUUAUAAGUCCAAGCUAACCAUAAUAAAUCAUGAAUCCUAAUCUCCAAUAAACUAAAUAUUAAAGUAUGAAAUUAGAAAAAAAAAAUUCAAGAUAAUCUCAUAGAAAGUAAAUAAAAAAAAAACCUAAGUCAACCUGAAUUAAUCUGUCAAACUCGCGACCAAGGUCAUGAGACUGUGAUAACCCUGUUAAAAACAAAUAAUUUUUUUUUUAUGAAGCUUAAUUUUUAAUAAGCUCAUUGUUAAAGGUUGAAAAUGAAGAAAAUUAAAUUUAAAAAUAGGAUACAACAAAACAAUAUGAGUUUAUCCGGGUUAACCCACAAAACACGUGACCUGAGUAUAUGACCGAGAUAACCCCAUAGAAAACAAACCAAAAUAAUUCAUGAGACCUAAUUCAUAAUCAACUAAAUGCUGAAGGAUGAAAUAGAAAAAAAAUCAAAUAAAAAAAGUCAAUAAAAACUCGAGUUAAUUAGGUCAACCCGUCAAACCCGAGACUCAAGUAAUGAUAAUCUUAUAUAAAGCAAACUAAAAUAAAUCAUGAAACCUAAUUCCCAAUCAACCUAAUGUUGUAUGACGAAAUUGAAAAAAAAAUGUCAAUAAAAAAGGAUAAAUAAAACUAGAGUCAACCUGCCAAACCCGUGACUCGAGUUACAAGAUCGAAUUAACCAUGUAUAUAGCAAACCACAAUAAAUUAUAAAACCUAAUCUCCAAUAAACUAAAUAUUGAAGUAUAAAAUUCAAUAUAUAUAUAUAUAUAUAUAGAAAAAAAAAGGCAAAAAAAUGCUAUUGAAAUGAAUAGUAUUUUACAAGGUAGUGCACAAUAAAAGCACCAUCUCUUUUAGUUUAUAAUAGAUAUUUGACCCGCAUUUCACCGCUGGUUAGAAUUAUUUUUUUAACAAAAAAAUUUAUAUAUAGACUAUUUCAAUACUUUUUUGUAUUUAAAAAAAUUUCAAGUGAAAAUAAUAUAUAUAUAUAUAUAUACAUACACAUAAUCAAAACAAUUAAGAACUGUAUGUCUUAAUAAGUGAAAGAACAAAAACCAUAAAUGAUGACUAAAAAUUAAAACUGAAAAAAUUGAGAGACAAGUAUAAAUUAAGAUAUUAAAUUUUACAAGAUGUGACAUUUAAGCAGUUGUGCUUGCUAAAUUUGUUAAUUAAAAUAAUUAUUUUAUUCAAUCAAACGAUAAUAAAAUAGACACACACAUUAAAUUAUUUGAAUAAAAUAAAAGGUAAAAAAUAAUAUGCAAGGUUGCACAUAUUAGAAAUAUUAUUUGAAAAUAAAUUUCUUUUUAUUUUCAAAAUUAAAGUUCAUGUAUAUAAAAGAUUUAAAAAAUAUAGAUUAGUAAGAAAUAACUCCUAAAAAAUUAAAUGCAUAUUAAAUUAUAAUUGUUAUUUCAAAUAAGCUUUCAAAAAUGCAUAAAAGAGAGAAAGAAUAUUUAUUUAAAUAAAAAUAAAACUAAAAAUAAGAUUAAUUUAAAAAAAUAGAAACAAAAAGCAAAAGAAAAUAUUUUUUCCUAAACAAAAAAAAGUGAAAAAUGUCGUCUAUAGUAAAACUUGAGGGGGUGAACCCGGACCAUGAACUCAACUAGGUUUAAUAUUUUUUUCCCCUUAAAUUUAUUGCAAACAUAAAAAAAGUUAAUAAUGUCGUUCACAGUAAAACAUAAAGAGGUGAACAAUGCGGCAACACGAUGUUCAUCUCACACAUUUUCCCCUUAAAUUUAUAGCAAAACCUUAAAAAAAAAAAAAAAAAUAGUGUCGUCCACAAUAAACACAUGAGGGGGUGAGCAAUAUAUCUACACAGUGUUUACCCCAUACGCUUUAGUUUAUUUAGGGUAAACCCAGACCAUGAAUUCAACAGGGUUUAACAUUCCCCCUCUUAAAUUUAUAGCAAACUUAAAAAAAAAAAAAAAAAAACAAUAUCAUCUACAGUAAAACAUGAGGAAUGGUUUAGCUAAUGAGCACCUCUAAGUAACAGAGCAAUGAAUAAAAAGGUGAUCAAUGGUCUCAAUUUCCAUAUCACAAAAAUAACAACAACCAUCAUCAUAACUAAUAAUUCUUCUGUAGGCAAGAAAUCCCUUAACACUCAAACUACCCUGCAACAACAACCACAGAAACAUCUUAAUUUUAGGAGGAAAUAUACUUUGCCAGAGUAAAGUGCCAAAAUUCUGGUUUGCCGGCAAACGCUCCUGAUGGAGCAAGCAGUAACCAGCAGUGCAGACAUGGAAAGCGUUCUGUUAGAGUUCAGCAAUAAACUGUCGGAAGUCCUGGACCGUGUUGAUGAUGCGGGUAUUGAAGAAAUAGUUGAAGUAGUUGGUGGGUUGUUGCAAGUUGAUAACAAGGUAGUUGAUGAGGAGAAGCUUAAGCCAAGAAAGAUAGUCAUGUCUAGGAUGUUAGCAAAGAGCUUGCAGGCUGGGGAUCCGAUUUUUGAAAAAGUUUCCCGUGCUGUCUAUUUGGCUCUAAGAGGAAUUGUGCUCGGGGGCAGUGGACCCCGGGGAAGAAAAUUAGUAGAAAUGGCACUCAAGCAGAUUGGAGCUGUCAUGCUGACUAAAAGAGUGGUGGCAGCUGCUGAAGUAUUAGUGGUGGCAGCCACCGUAUCCACUGGCAUUCACAGGCCAUGGUAUGUAAAUCUGACCGAUAACCUGUGAUAUAUUUGUGCGUGCCGUAAGAAGAGAAUAAAUAAAUACAUGCGCACUGUACAGAGAAAUGCGUGUAAAGCUUAUGAUUAAUUGCAGUCGUAGAUGCCUGUAGAUGGUUGUAAUUUGAGAAUUCUUUGAUUUAAUGGGAACAAGAAGCUGUAAAUAGUAUUUAAGAUGAUAUCAAAGAUCUGCAUGGGAAAGGUAUGCUUAGGAUGUCGUCCCUGUAUAUGGAUGUAUUUGCUUGUAAGAAAACGCUGUCCUACUGCAACUAUUUUUCAAGAUAGUUCGUUGCUCCGGUGAACCUGUCACCGGCCACCAGCUUCAGCCCUAAUCAAAGGCUAAUUAGUAAUGAAGUCUGUCCAGACCUAUGGUUAGGUUCUGUUCACAUCUCUUAAAAUUAAGGUUUUUUUAAUUUGAUGAUAAAGAAUAUCAAUAUAUAAACAAUUUCUUUUCAUGUUUUGAAAAUAUUCUCGACCUUCAGCAACUAAUUAAGCCACCGUGACAAGCUGACAAGACAUCCACAAAUGUAGUUUCAUCUGGCUUACACCCGCCACUUUUCAUUUGCUCAAAAAUAAUCAGAGCUUGCUUAGCGUGCCCUGUCAAUAUCUGUAACUUUAGGUUGUAAUUUUUUUUAUAUAUAUAUAGUAGACGAGGGAGAAUAUUAUUAAGAUUUAACCAACAAAAAACGCUAAUUUUGAGCAUUAAACAAUAUUAAUAUUUAUAUAAGUAUAAUUUUAAAAUCUAAUACGAAGCCAUUGAACUAAACUAUAUAAAAUUAAAUCAUAAAUUCUCAAAUCCUGAAUAUCAUCAAUGAGAGUACCCUUCUCUCAGCUGAAUAAAAAAUAGAUAAAUUCCUCUCUGCUUCAGGUUUUGAUGACUCCAAACGCUGACACUCCCUAUUUUCAGCUUCAUGUAUGACCCCACAUUUAGCAAUACAUGUCAAUGAACGCGUUUGCUAUGAUCACACUGAUUCGUUGUGUUUUGUAACGAUGAUGUAGUUUCAAUGGAUUCACUGACCAAAUUCCAAGCAAUCCGAUUGACCACAAGCAUAGAGCACACGAAAUAAAAAUAAAAAACCAACAAAAUUGAAAAACCUGGAAAUCAAGCCAGAGCAAGGGAUAGAUAUGAAAUGUUAAAAACUUGAGAAUUACAUGCACGUAAUACAUAUUCAAGAAACCAAGAACAGCAACAUAUUUAUUUAAUUAGACUGAUGCUAAGAACAUCGAUUAUCACUACAAACAGUACUCAAACAUAAACAGAUUGACGCUCCAUGCAAAUAAUAGCUAGUUAGCUCUUGUCACUUCAACCCAAACCUCCUCACCAAACAGCUUGAAACUCCUCCUCUUAGCUUCAAUCCUGAACUGUGACCCCAGGUUCUGGUCAUCCUCACGAUGAAGAACAACCUUGUCACCAACUCUCAGUCCAUAAUGAGCAACAAAAUCACGCCAGCCCAUAGAAAGCUCUGGCUUGUCAUAUCCUCCAUUUUCUCUUCCGGCAACGAAUAACUCGAAGCUCACCACAGCUAUCUUUAACAUGCAAAUCAACAUAUUUAUUUCCAGCAAAAUCUAAAUACUGCAAGCAAUGAGUUGGGAACGAGAAACGAUGAUGAACAUCAGUAUCUGUCAACACUUUGCUGAAGAUCUGCAUUUUUUUCUCAAGGGUCGUAAAAAGAGAGAGAAAUGGUUAUGUUUAAGCUAUCUGCUGGAUUGAUAUGGUUUCUUGCAGGGAGCUAUCUGUUGAUUUAUAAUAAAAACUAGCUAGCUACUGUAUUCACGGUAGAAAGACAUCGAGCGAGAGAUUUCGGAAAUCUUGUUCAUUUGAUCGAUUUCGCAUGGCGUUAUUUAAAUCUUGGUGGAUUAUUUGUAGAUAUAACAAGAGAAACGCAGGCUUAUCAAAGACUAGAAUGAGCCAGGAGGCACGCUCGUAUUGCCUCUCGCGCACCUCGUUCGUUCUAGCUUGCUAAAAGCAAACACUUGCUCAAGAUCUUGCAUGCUUGGACUUGGACACUGGACACUGGCCAAGGACCCAUUUAAUAAAAAACUACAAGAAUAAAUAAGGUUUAUUUUUCAAUUAUAUUUUAUGAAAUGAAAAUUGUCCUCUUAUUAGACAUACAUGAAUAAUAAUAAAAUAUAUUUCUUAAAAAUUAUAUUUUAAAAGGUUUCAUUUAUAAUUUUAUCUAGGUUCCCUAUUUAUUAUAAGUCAUACGUCGGUUCUGGGUCAUGGUCAUGAACUUGGGAUAAUGUCCCCUCUUAGGAGAUGAGGCUUUCACUCCUCACUUUACUUAUCUAGGAUCAGUAUAAUAUUGAGCAUUAACAAAAAAAAUAAAAUUAAUUACAUGUUUAUGGAGUUAUUAAUCAUGCUCAAUAACUUAAAUAUGAAAACGGAGAUUUAUAUAAUACAUUGCAUAAGAUUUGUUAUCAGUUAAUUGUAUUUUACCAUUAUUAUUGGCUCUUGUGAUUUUAGAUAAAGCUGGUUCUUGAUCUUGCAGGCAUGCGUUUUCUUGAUAUUUCUGCGAGGUUUUUGUUCGAAUAAGCAACAAGGGUUGAAGGGCAAAUCCUUCCAUGCGUGUCCAAAAUUCGAAGUCAUUUUCAAUUCAAGGUCCACGAUAUAUUUUUUAUAAUAUAAUAAUGCUAGAAUUACUCUCGAUCUCCUCAGCAUGCAUCGAGUAAUCGCGUUUGGAUUUCGAGUUCGAGUGAUUUGAAAUGCUCGGUGUCUGUGUUGUGUGCAUGUAGCCCAAAGAAUAAAUAGUGUUUGUGUCAUCGACCGAGAGCGUCAGCACUGUGGGCGUGCAAUGACGUUUCUACUCGGAGGAGGCUAUGUGCUUUCUUUUUGACAGGCAGCUUCAUUUUUGUACUUAAGCAUUGCCCUUUACAAAUACAAUUUUAUGUGCUUGAAAUUCGAGCCUUCAUUUUGCCGCAACCAACUUUCUUCUUCGCGCUUUUCAAAGCCGCAAUAAUAGACUUAAAUCGGCGUGUCAUUAGAAACGUUGCCUCAUUGGCAUGUCAUUAGAAAUGUUCUUCGUGCGGAUCACCAAAAGUUAAUUGUUUUUAUAGUGAAAGUGGAUGGUUCUUCGCCUCUCUUAUUUUUUUUAAGUUCUAUUUUAAUUUUCUUUUACCAACAAAAGUUAAUUGCCGGUUGAUUAAAACAAUAUAGUGAUAUGCACCCCCGGGGAGCGAGCAAGCUGAACAAGCUGCAAGCAGCGACCUCAUUUUUUCAUGUUACCCUAUUAGACCAAGCUAGAGUGUUUUUAAGGAUUUAUUAUUUAAAGAUAUUAUUUUCUUUGGUUUUGAAUAAUUAUUUAAAAGUUAGGUUGUCGUAAAUCACAAGUCAUCCAAUUGUCAAAUUUCCAACGAUAAUCUACACAAAUCAUCAGUGAAAAAUCUCUUAAAUCCCUAUUAGAAGAGAGGAAUUUCUAAAAUCCUAGUGAACAGUUCCAAUGCUUUUUGAAAAAUACCGACGAAAUGUUUCGUUAGUCAUUCCCUUUAUAAUUGACAUGAUGAACAAUGUUAGGCAGAAGUGAAUACUUUACCAAUGAUUUUACCAAAGAAUUUUACUGACGGAAUUAAUUUUGUCGGUAAUUCUAUCGGUAUAAAUGACAUGUUAUUGUUUUUUUUGCUUUGUUUUAAUUCUUUUUUUUUUUCCCAUCGUAAUUCUCUUGGUAGAUACCGAGGGAAUAUUUCCGUCGGUAAAAUUUACUGUAAUUUUUCGACAGAAAUAUUUUGUCAGUAUUUUCAUUUGUAUUUAUCAAUUUUCUGGUAGUGCUACACCAUAAUUAAUAAUGUGUAAAACAACAUUGUAUAUGUCACUUGCUGAAAAUCUAGCAAGUGAUAUAUUUCAUCAUUUUAUGGACCUAAAAAUCAUACUCAUUUGCGUCAAGAGGUAUGAGAGUCGCCACCUAAUUGUUUGGUUUAGAGUCACUAGGAAACCUGAGUAUACUGGUCUUAUCAGAAAUUCUAAGGGUAAGCAACUGGUUGUGGCUAGAGAAGGUAUUGACACCCCUGGUAUAAAGAGGAUGGUAAAAGGGUAUUUUUAAAUUAAAAUAAAGCAUAUGGUCAUAGCAUAAAAGGGGAGGGGUAAAGGGGUAAAAUACCCUAAAACCAUCUCUAUAUCCCACUUUUCUUCUAUGUCGUCGGUAAGGCACCUUGCCCUUGCUGCCGGCGUGCUUUCCAGUGAUAGCCAAGGCUACCGUUUCACCAAGCAACAACAACCAAGGUCAUAGUUGCCUACAUCCACGCGAGGCCCAAUACUGCCAACAACAUCUAGCAUGCCUGUCACUGCCACCCACAACAACGUGAGACAUUGCUACACAUACUUGUUUUGUAAAAAAAUCUGAUUUCAAAAAAUCAUGAGAAAAAUUAACUUUCUAGAAAAAAUAUCUUUAUUUCACACAUAAAAUUAAUUUCUAAUUAACACUAAUAAAAAUUAAAACAUGCAUUCAAACAAUCCUAAUUUAUCUAACAAAGGCUCUAGUACCACCAUUGGAUUUCCAUAAUGGCAUACACACAGUAGAAACAAAAAUAAAAUAAAAUUUGAGAGUCCAUAGGAUAUUCCUGUUAGACAAAUUUAGAGUUGUUUAGGGAUUUAUUACUUGAAGAUCUGAACUUCUUCGACUUUGAAUAAUUUUUUAAAGGUUGGGUUGUCGCAAACUACAAUCCAUUUAAUUUUCCAGCUUUCAACGGUAAUCCACACAAACUAUUAGUGAAAAAUCUCUUAAAUCACUAUUUAAGAGAGGGGAAUUUCUAUGCUUAGAGUACCAGCUAUUUAUUUUGUGACUUGUAUAGUUUUUUUAUCUAACAAAUAAUAACAAAAAUAAGAGGCAUAUGUUACUAUUUAUAGAAAAAUCUAAAAAUCCCUAUAAAUUGAAAAACAUUUCAAUUUGCCCCUUGAAUAAUAUCCACAUUCCACAUAUUACGAUUCUCUCUAUGGAUUUGUGUCUUUCAUCUAUUAAAGGAACAUUCGUUUUUGCUGCCUAUCUGAACUUUUUUAAAAAAAUUAUUUUUUUAUUUUAAAAUAUUUUUUGUGUUUUUAAAUUGUUUUUAUGUGUGAAUAUUAAAAUUAAUUUUUUUAAAAAAAUAAAAUAAAAAUUAUUUUAAUAUAUUUUCAAAUAAAAAACACUUUAAAAAAUAAUUUUUACCAUAAUAUCAAACACAACUUGAAUUUUAAGAAAAAUAAAAAGAUUUAUACAAGGAAUGUGUAAUAGCAAGAUUCAAACACUAAUCAAUAAACUCAACCAUAUAUAUUUAUUAAACAAAAAUGCAAAACUACUCACAAAUUAUUAUUAUUAGCUAGAUUAUCUCCUUUCACAAAUUAUUAUUAUUAAAACGGACAUGUCUUGAGCCUCAUAUAUUGAACUCAUGCGAUUCAAAAGCCCAAAAUCAUCUACACAUCCAAGACUACAACUUUUAUAAAAGGUGUCAGGUCAGAUAAAUUCAUUUUGAAGAUAAAACUCCAAACGCAAGUUGAAAGACGAGAUUAGUCUCCUGAUUUGAUGACAAAACUAACAGUAGGGAGUUGUAUCUUGAGAAGGAAUAUGAGGGGAUUAGAAGGAUUGUUUUCUACAUCCUUUAAACUUCAUAUCUUUAGCCUUGAUCUUAUCAUGAAAUCUACAUACUAAGAUACAAAAAUAGGGAAAGACCAAUUAGGCAGUUGGGUUCUAUUUUGCUACUGGGAUUUGGAGAGAGAUUAUCUUGAAUGCUGGAAUUUUCAGAGAUCAUGAGCAACUAGUUCCUAAUUUCGGUUCAAUGAGAAUAUACUCCAUCUCCAUUAGCAAGUUGUGAGAAGUAACAUUAUCAUUGUAAUUCUUUCAUAUUCAAGUAUUUAGUUUUUCUUGUUCAGAAUUGUUGGUACCCAAUUUUUGACCCACCUUUUUGCUAAACUUUUUGAAAAAUCCAAAAAUAGCGAAAAACAACAAAAAUCCAAAAAAUAUGUUUUUAAUAUAUUUGCAUCGUUUUUAGCAUUUUCAAUGUCGUUUAAAAAAAAAAUUUAUUUUCAAAAGUCUUUCGAACGCGUUCAACGUUUUACACGUUAUUUUUAAAAAUCAUUGCUUUUCCUCGUUGAGUCGAAUUUGAUAUUGCUCGUUUUUAAAAAAUACAAAAAAAAUAAGAAAAAUCAAAUUUACAAGAAAAAAAAUGUUGAGAGACCAAUUUUGAGGCCUAAGCAACAUUUUGUCUAUAAAUAGGAGUUUCCACAACUCACACAAACGAGGGGGGCAAUCUUGGACCAAAAUUAGAAGAGGCAACACAAAAAAACCCUAAACAACCUAACCCUACCAGCUCCCACUCUAAGGGAGCGGUCGUUCUCCCUCUUGAAACAAAAAGGAGCCGCAGCCCCCAGCAGUUGAUUGGAUUUUUUUUUUUAGAAAACAAAGUUGUCGUCCCCCGGGUUUCUUGGUGGUUGCUCUCCCAGUACAGAGCCAAGGACCCCCAACCAUUUCAGCUCUUCGUCUGCUCCCCUGCACCUGAAGCAACCCCAUUCCCACAAAUCUUCCCUUCUCAAUCGUUCCCUCACCCUAGACAACCCCCAACAACGGCCACCAACCCUCUCUCUUUCCCUGCACCAAGACCGUCCCCAUCACCCCUCACUAGGCUUGCCUCCAUUUUCCCCUCUCAGUCGUUCUUUCCUCAGCCAACAGGCGAUACCCACAUAACCCCAUAAACCAGCACCCCACUUCCCAUCGCCUCUCCUUUUCCCCCGAUCUUCUCCUUCAGCUCCUCACCAGACUCACGAACUAGCCAAGACCACCCCCUCACUCUCCUCUCAGCCGGCCUUCGCCGUCAGCAGCAGCAUCCCUCACGAACCUAGAUCAGCCCGCUGCUCCUUCCUCCUCUGCUCUUUCAGCCCCUUCCAUCUCUGCUAAAUAGAGACCCAACUCUUGCCGACUAGCCUUCUACUACAGAGGAGACUGCAACAUCGUCUGUAGACCGGGCAAAAACCCAAAGGGCAACAGCCUUAUGGUCACACAACCGACCGCCUGAAACAGAGAACAAGGGGAAACGAAAAAGAACAUAUCUAUAGGAAGCAAAUCUAAAAACAAAUCGAGAAAGAAAGGGGACAAAGCUUGUUGUUGCGUUUUGUUCUUUUUGUAAGCGGCGGUGACUGUAACAACCCUGAUUUUUUUACAUUCUUUUUCACAAUAUAUUGGAAAAUUUCAGGUAAUUUUUUUUUUAUACAAGUUUCACCAAAAUUUUUGCAAAGUCUCCCCUAUACCGGUAGGUCCCAAGUUAUUGACAUAUACCCUGUUUACACUUCUAAUAACUCACAUCUCAUAACUUAAAAUCACGACCCAAUCAUCCUGGGCCUUAACCCAACUCAUUCUCAUCAACACAACACAUCUUAUUCAAUAACAUCAUUUAAUACAGUUCAAAUAAAAGAUUCAAUUUCAACUCUAAACAUACAUGGUCAAAAAGGUACUAAGAGUUUCAACCAUUAGAUUAAAGACAUACAUUCAAAUUUACGGAUUUAUAUUACAUCUCAAGUUUUAGGAGAUAAGUCUUUUACUUUACAAUUAAUUUACAUGGUCAAAAGCAAAAGAUAACUAAACUAGUAUUACCCCUGAUGCGACCCUAGUGGACCUGAAAAUAGAAAUUAACAUGUACACAUAAAUAUAAAAGAUAGUAACAAGCAAUAACAAUGGCAGACAAUAAUCUCUACGGAAUUUCUUUUUAUAUAUAAAAUUAGGCAUAAACCUCUUUUACAACAUAUAUUUUCCAUCUAUUACCAAUAUCCAUCUAAUAUCCUAUCUCAUUUGCCAAGAAUAAUUCCAUCUUGGAAAUCUCAACACAACUCAACGGUUUGCGAACACCAUCUCCUUAUAAAUCAAUUUUCACUUGAUACCAAGAUAUUCCUCUCUUGAUAUCAUUAGCUUAUCUCAUUCUUUUGGAAUAAUUAAUCAAUAAUUUUUUUUUCCUUUUCUAAAUCUGUUGCUAGAAGGUAAUCGCUGAAACUAAUAAAUCCCAUUAAUAUCAUUAGUCUUCUAAUAUUGGGCUAGACUAAUCAAUUUAAAAUAUACCAGCACCGAUGAAACCUCUUCGAUACCAUUAGCAAUCCAAACCUGGUAGCUAAUCCAUGCCAUUUGAUUCUUCCAUUCGUAUCGAAUCCCUUUCAUUUUCUUAUUAACAUCAUAUGCAUUGUAACCACGGUUGCCAAGUAUCAUUUGCACACAAUCUUAGUUAUCGACACUACGGUCACUAAGCAUCCUUCACAUAACCUUGGUCACCCUCAUUACAGUGCCAAGUAUCAAUUUAUGCCCUUAGCCACCAUCAUUAUGGUGUUAAGUAUCAAUGUAAUGUAUCCUUAGCCACCAACACUAUGGUAAUUAAUUAUCUAUCAAUUCCCCUCCAAUCUCCAAAUCAUUGUGUCUACCCAAUAACCACAUUAAUUAAUUUACUCAAAAUCUUAGUCAUAUAUUAAUUAUUUUACUCAUAACAUUUAGAAUUUACUACUUCUAACUUCAAUCAAUUAAUUCACAUAAUCUUUUCAAAACUUAACUAUUUGGCUAACUCAUCUCAAUUGCCAAUAAUUCUGGUAAUUUCAUAUAAUUACCCACAUAUUUGGUUAACCUUCCUUGGUUACCAGUACAUCUGGUAAUUCCAUACGAAUUACCCAGCCUCCAGUUAUACAUUCAGUACAUUGAUUCAUACAAAAUACAUUAUGAUUUAGAAUGCAUCUACAUGAUUCCUUGCAAAAGUAGGUUCCCGUGUAUCGGGUUUCCUAGACAUCUCGUUGGUGUGAUGUCCCUGCAGCAGUACAAAACAUUUAAGAGAAUGCAAAUACUUAAGAAUACUAAUAAUGGUAACUAACGGUCUGGCAGUUAAAUGAAGCAUUAACAUUUAUAAUAUCGUCAUGUACUUGGUAUAAACAGCUAGUAGUACAUAUAGAUGCACCAAUUUUAUUUUAUUUAUUUUGCAAUCAACCAUAAUCUUAAACCCGGCUAUCCUCUUAAGGCAUUAUUUGCUGAGGUUAACCGUUCACUCACCCCGAUCAUCCACUUCGGAUGCCAUUAGCCAAGCUAAUCAAUCGUUCGUCCCGGUCAUCCUUUCGGAUGCCAUUAGCCGAAGCUAAUCAAUCGUUCGUCUCGGUCAUCCUUUCGGAUGCCAUUAGCUGAAGCUAAUCAUUCAUGUGUCCCGGUCAUCCAUCCGGAUGCCAUUAGCCGAAGCUAAUCAAUCGUCCUCGGCAUCCUUUCGGAUGCCAUUAGCCGAAGCUAAUCAAUCGUCGUCCCGCCAUCUUUCGGAUGCCAUUAGCCGAAGCUAAUCAUUCGUUCGUCCCGGCCAUCCUUUCGGAUGCCAUUAGCCGAAGCUAAUCAAUCGUUCGUCCCGGUCAUCCUUUCGGAUGCCAUUAGCCGAAGUUAAUCAUUCAUUUGUCCUGGUCAUCCAUCUGGAUGCCAUUAGCCGAAGCUAAUCAAUCGUUCAUCCCGGCCAUCUUUUCGGAUGCCAUUAGCUAAAACUAAUCAAUCGUUCGUCCUAGUCAUCCUUUCGGAUGUCAUUAGCCGAAGCUAAUCAUUCAUUUGUAGAGUUAAUCAACCUUUAGUCAACAUUUAAGCGUUCAACAAUCUAAUAUCGGUUCUAACAAUAUGGUAAUAAUCAUGUUAAAGUAUUUCAAUAUUCAACGUAUGAAAAAAGAAAGGUGCAAGUCACCUACCUAGAAUAGGUGCACGUGCUGCCACUCCAUGCAAUUGUCCAAUCCCCACAGCUUUCCCUGUACCACCAGGGAUUCAAUUUUUAUCAACAAUACAACCAACAUCACAUCUUCAUUUAAUUCUCAUUCAACUAGUAUUCUCAAACCAAUCACAAGGAAUUUUCUUUAAGAUCUCAUACUCUUACUCAUUUUCAUGUUUAUAUUCAUUCUUAUUAUUUUGUUAUCAAAAGCAUCACUCAACAACAAAUUCCAAGCAAAGAUUAAACCAAAAAUAAGGAAACUCAUUCCUUUUGGGAUUUCUCCUAAUAUUAUUAUUAAUACAACAAAAUGAUGAACUAUUCAUUUUCUUUCGCUCUCUCCUCGUGCGAUUAAACAUAUGCAGCAAACCUUAACAAUUAAUAUUCUUAGAUCACUAUCACAACAACAAUUUCACCCUACUAGUUGGAAUCCAUGACAAUCUUCAUUAACUAAUCAAUUUGCCAAAAAUACUUAUGGCUAGCUUUAAAUACGUUUUAUUUUCUAUAUUUCUUUCAUUUUAAUUUCUUCAUGGUUCCACCCCAUUUAUAUCCACACAACCAACAAGUUAGCUUUGUAUUCAAUUAACAUGUUCAUAUAGCGAUGUUCCUUACUAUUCUUACACAAUAAUCAUACUUCACCUCAUAUAAAGAAUACACAAUUAAUCUAUAAUAAUACUAAUAACAAGAACAUAUUUCACCAUUACAUCUUCCAUAAAACCUACACCCACACAAUUCUAAUUUCAUCAAAACAUGUAUUUAAUCAAGCUUGCUACAUUUUGCCAAAACUAGUAAUAGAUUCAAAGGCAAUAAGUCAUCCAAUUCUGAUUAUUGCUCUAAACCCAACGGUCAGACUACAUAUCAUUGAGUUGUGCAUACUAUAUCUCAAACUCAUAAUGAUCCAACGGUUAGAUCUCCCUAGAUCUGUAUAAAACCGAUCUUACCUAAAAAUGGACGAGCUACUGUUCAACAUGCACGAAACCUUGCCGGAGAAUGGGUUUCCCAUCUCCACCGUUCAGAAUGAAGGAAACCUCUAGGCGCACCACAUAUCCAAAACUUAGCAUGAUCCAACGGUGGAAGAGAGAGAAAUCAGCCGGCGACCGAACUGCCCUGCAGGUGCAUUUCCUUUUUGUUUUUCAGGACAUUUCCGAUGAUGAUUUCUGUCAAAUGGAGUGUGUUCCUUCCAAUCCCUCCGGGCAGUUAGUAGAUAAGUGUAAUAAGAACCAUAUAUCCAAAACGUAGCUUGAUCCAAUGGUGUAAGAGAGAGAAAUCGGCCGGCGACCAAACUGCCCUGCAGGUGCAUUUCCUUUUUGUUUUUUCAGGACAUUGCCGAUGAUGAUUUCUGUCACAUGGAGUGUGUGCCUUCCAAUCCCUCCGGUAAGUCAGUAUAUAAGUGUAAUAAGAACAACAUAUCCAAAACUUAGCUUGAUCCAACGGUGGAGUCCUGAGAUAUGGCCACCGGAGUAUUAUUGGUUUUACUCCAAAAUCUGCAGCUCUCUCUAUCCGUUUUUCUCUUCUUUUUUCUCUUUUUUUUUUUUUUUAACUGAUGGCCUUUGCAGUUUUAUAGGCACCUUUUUUCCAUAAUUACAAUUUUGUCCCUCAUUCAUGCCUUUAUGUACUUUAUUUUAUUUUUCAUGUAAACUAUCUGAUUUAUUUCUGCUUAAAUCGUUAGUCUUUACCAAACUCCGAUUGGGAUGAGAUAUUUAACCAAGGUAUGAAAACAUAUUAAUAGAAUUCAUGCAAAAUUUCGUCUCGAUCCUAUAAUUAGAUUGACAAUUCUGCUUCCUAAUAUAAACUUGUUCAGUUCAUGACUUCUCAUAAACAAUCUAGAUUUUUCUUGUUCAAUCUUCACAAACAAAAAGCAUAUCAAUUAUCCUUCUAAACUUUUACGGUCAUUUUAUUAUUUUGAAAUGUAUUCCUUUUAGGAUUUCUACCUUUAUUUAUUUAUCGGGCUUAUUACCAUUUCAAAAUAACGUCACUGAUUUUUAAUCGAUGCUUGCACCUUCAGUCCUAUCCUUUUUCAUUGCACUAUCAUUUAGUAUAAUGCAUUCUUUAUUACCUCACUUAUUUCCUAAAAAAUAUUUUGUUAUUUUUCUCAUUAUUUUAUCCAUCAAAACACGUUACUAGUUUCUAUGUCCUUAUGAAUUCUAAACCAAAAUUCAUUUUGUAGAGGUCAUCACUUUCAUUAUAUAUCAUUAUUUAUCUAUUAUUUCAAAUCUUGGUUUUUCAUCACUCAUUGAAAUAUUACCACUUUCAGCCUUACGUUUACAUGAGGGUUUACACAUCUAUAUAUUUAAAUUAUAAAUUUCCAGGGUUUUCACAGUGACCCUCACCGACGGCGUAAGAAGGCAGAGAAGAAGAGGAUGUUCCCGAUCCACCGGUUUGGCAGCCUUCAUCGGUAGUGGUGCGUGAACUCACGUGUCGCCAGUGACGGAGGCGCGUGAAGGAGACGCGCCGCCACUGUUCCUGCAGUUGCAGAAGGCUUUCCUUGCCAUUUUUGGAGUUUUAGGGGCUAUUUUGUAAAUUUUAAAUUGUUUAAUGUGAUUUUUGCUUAGUUUUGAUUUUUUAUAAUUUGUAGUGUGGAUGUAACCAAAAAAAAAAAAGGAAAAGAAAAAAAAGAAAAAUAUAGUGAAAGUGAAUGUGUUGUUUGUAUUUUGUUUAUGAAUAUUUUUUUAUGAUAAAAUUGCAAAGAAUAAAGAAGAAUUUAAUAUUUUAAUUUGCUCACAGUUAAGGAUUAUGAGCUACACGUAAGUCGUAUUUCUAAUAUAUGAUGAAAGAAUAAAAUUUUUAAAACUUCUUUAUCGCAUCAAAGUCACGAAGCAGCUUACCUCAGGUAGGGUGCAUUAGGGAUGCUAAUCCAGUCCCUUACCCGCGAAUCUCUGACAAGACCAGUACAUCCAGGUUUCCUAAUAGCCCUCAAUUAAAUACUAGGUGGCGACUCCUAACGAAUCAAGCAAACGAGGAAGAAAAAUCACCAUCCGACACCGCGCGGGUGAUGUGCGACAAAAUAGCGACUCCGCUGAGGACGGUACUGUUUCUGACAAUAUUGGACUAAGCUUUGUGUAUUUGAUGUGUUUAAGUUUUUGCAAUUUUAUCUCUUUUUUAAUGUUUUUGUUUCUAUGCAUUUUAUAGAAUUGUCUCACGCAUCACCUAUUUUAAUUUUUGAAAGCACACACAAGCUUCUAGGUUAGGUGGAGAACUAGCGAUUUGCCUUAUGACUAUUGGUCAGGGUUCAGAUGGGUGAAACACUCAACUUAUAUUUGAGUGUCUACUUGGUAAUGGUGGGUAUACGUGCCUUAACCAUUUCUCGCAAUGCCCCUAUAUUGUCUUUACGAAGAUCAUCACUGGGCAUAUAUCAGACCCUUUUGAAACCAAGUAGAAAACCUACCCAUGUUCACAUAAUGAAUAGAACUUGUCCUUAGGUUGUAUGUGCUAUCAUUAUUUGCAUAAGGGCAAACCCUUCUUGAAACAUCUUGAACUCAAGACUUGUGGGUGACACAAUGACCGUCACUCAAAAAAUUUUCAUUAUAGAGUUUGGGCAAGAAUCAAGAUUCUUAUUUCAUCAUGCAAGAGUUACGAUCAUAUGUCACCCCUCGAAGGGCGAAUUCAUCAUAUAGAUUACUUGUCAUACAUUUUUCAUGCAUGCACUGGGAUGAAAAGUAGGUCCCCUACGAGUCUACAACACUUGACUUUGAGUGAAAAACACAGAAGAUGAACAUUGUGCUCGUCGUAACAUCAAUUUUCAAGAAGAGUUGGAGUCUCUGAAGAAAAGCUUGACUCACCUCUAGCUUACUCGAGCAAAUACUGAAAAAUAACUCUGGGGAAGUUCCUUCCAACUGACAUAUCAUCUUUGUUCAAAAUCCAAUAGCGACUCAGCUUGAAGAAAUUUGGGGGAAACAUGGUCAAGAGCCUCAAUACAAUCCAGCAUUUCUGCAAAAGCUUUUGUAAGAAGGAUGACCAAAUGGGAAUUGCACCACCAUUGUAGAAUGGAAUAACUACCUCUAUUUGAUCAUGCCUGCAAAACUUCUUGAUUUUUUGUUUAAACGUGUUCUAGUUUUUGUUGGUAAUUUGGCUCAAAAUUUCCCUGUCAAAUGAGCCUUUCUUGUUAAUAAGAUCAUAUGUUUUCCUAUGUUCAUGACAUACCUUUAUUUUUGUUGUUCUUUUAUGCAAAUAACACAUUGAGCAUAACCUUUAAGUAUGAAACCAUUAUACCAAGAAUCUUUGGGUGUGUUUCCCUUUUCUUCCAAAGCUAUGCAUGAUCAUACAUGUUCACAAGGAUUUUUGGGAAUUCAAAGUUUAGUACAAAAAUAGAAAUCAUGUUGAUGUUUGUCCAAAACAAACAAGUUCUGGAAAUUCAGGUGAUUUUUUAGAGAGGUAAUCAUACACCUAGAAAACCUGAAAAAAAAAAACAAAAAACAAAAAAAAAACACCAUGAAUUGACUCUAAAAGCUGAAUUUUAUUUGAAUGAAUAAUGAGAAAUCAUGUUGCAUACUCACAUGAAAGCAAGGCUAACCAAUCUUAAGUGCAUGAGUUUGAAAUGAGGAAAGACCAUUUUUUAUAAUCAUUUCACAAGGCUAAAAUAUAUCAUUUGUAGUUCCCUUUUGAGCCUGGUAACAUUUUUGAAAAUAACCUUGGUUAGGAUCACACCUCACACUAGGGGCAAGUGCGAGAGACAUAAAAAAAAAAAAAACCUCAAUGAUUGAAAGUGCCCAAGAAAAACUGGGGGGCAUAAAAAAUAUUCUCAAUCAUAAAAAAUGUCCAAACAAAGUUGGGGGCAUGAAGAAAAAAACCAAAAGGUCCAAAAAAAUUGAGUUUCUCACAAAAAUAACCAAUAUGAUGAUGCUCAGAACCAAAUGAAGAAAACAAAAACAAAAAGAAAGGGCCCAAGCCCAACACUAGGGGCACAAUAGACAAUUUUGGAAAGACAUUCAAAUGACAAAAGGUCAAGAAACAAGCACAAGUGAUCCUUAGUUUUGAAAUCCCUCAAACACCUUUUGAGCCUACAAAGACCCUUUUCUUCAUAACCAAGAGCUCAAGCCUACAUUACGUGCCUAAUCAAGCCCUUUCUGAUCAAAGCAAGCAAUCAGGAUUGGUAAACAAUGCUUUCUCAUACGAAUCAAAUCAUUAUUCAUGCAAAUAAAAUGAAUGCUUUCAAGACUGGUUCUCUAUAACCCUCAAAAUAAAACCUUAAACCAUUUCCGACCAGCCAAAUGUCACUUCAUGUUUUUCACUAAAAGCAAAACAAAAAGUUUUCAUCACUCAUGAAAACCUCUCCAUAGGAAUCACUUGAAUUUCUUUAGAAUAAGUUCGCUUUGAAUCGAUAUCAAAAUGAUUUCUGUGUCUGGAAUAGCUUUGAAAAUUCCAAAAAUUCUUCAUGAAAACUACUCAUUGGCAAACCUUCCUUCACAUAGCCUCAUCUAAACUCGAAUUGAACACUUGGGGGCAUGAUCAAGCGGGGGGGGGGAAUAAAAAAAUGCAUGGUAGGGCUAGCUCCAUGAUUCCCUUCCUAAGAAAAAUAUCGGGCAAAAUUGGCAACACUUGAGAUAAAGGGUGGAGGACAAAGAAGUACAUUGAUAUCAAGUCCUUCCCAGAGGUUAAGAUCACAAGAUAUGACUUGAGUAAGCAAGAGCGAAAAAUCUAUCAAAGUUUACUACCACCACUCCAACUUUUAAGAAAAGAAAGACACCAUGAAGAAAUGAGGACCUAUAUUUCUCAAGUAAGUAUACAUGCAUAUCAAUCAUGAUGCAUUGCUUUCAUCAUUGACAGAUCGGUGUUACACCUCCUUUUAAGUGCGUCUUUGAGCCCUCACUUCUCAGGUAGUGCGUUUUUUAACCCUACCUCCUUUCAAGUGCGCCUUUGAGCCCUCACUUCUCAGGUAGUGCGUUUCAAACCCUACCUCCUUUCAAGUGUGCCUUUGAGCCACCAUUUCAGGUAGUGUGUUUUCUAACCCUGCCUCAUUUCGAGUGCGCCUUUGAGCCCUCACUUCUCAAGUAGUGUGUUUUCUAACCCUACCUCAUUUCGAGUGCGCCUUUGAGCCCUCAAUUCUUAGGUAGUGCGUUUUCUAACCCCACCUCAUUUCAAGUGCGCCUUUGAGCCCUUACUUCUCAGGUAGUGUGUUUUCUAACUUUACCUCCUUUCGAGUGUGCCUUUGGGCCACCACCAUUUGGGUAGUAUGUUUUCUAACCCUGCCUCAUUUUGAGUGUAACUUUGAGCCCUCACUUCCUUUUAUGUGCGCCUUUGAGCCACUAUUUCUUAGGUAAUGCAUUUUCUAACCCUACCUCAUUCCGAGUGCGCCCUUGAGCCUCCAUCUCUUAGGUAGUGAUUUUCUAACCCUACCUCCUUUCGAGUGCACCUUUAAGCCCUCGCCAUCCUUUUUCUGGGUAGGUCACCCAUUACAAUGAGGCCAUUCUUCCACUUGGGUAGGUCACCCAUUACAAUGAGACCAUUCUUUCUUUUUUCUUGGGUAGGUCACUCAUUACAAUGAGACCAAUAUUUUUAUGGGUAAGUCACCCAUUACAACGCGACCAAUUCUCCAUGUUUUUUAUCUGGGUAAGUCACCCAUUACAAUGAGACCAUUUUUCCACUUGGGUAGGUCACCCAUUACAAUGAGACCAUUAUUUCCUUUUUCUUUACCCAUUACAAUAAGACCAAUAUUUUUCUGGGUAGGUCACUCAUCAUAACGCGACCAAUUCUCCAUGUUUUUUAUCUAGGUAGGUCACCUAUUAUAAUAAGGUCAUUCUUCCACUUGGGUAGGUCACUCAUUACAAUGAGACCAUUUUUUUCUUUUUUCUUGGGUAGGUCACCCAUUACAAUAAGGUCACUCAUUACAAUGAGACCAAUCUUUUCUUUUUUCUUGGGUAGGUCACCCAUUACAAUAAGGUCAUUCUUCCACUUGGGUAGGUCACCCAUUACAUUGAGGCCACUCUUUUCUUUUUCCUUGGGUAGGUAACCCAUUACAAUGAGACCAAUAUUUUUCUAGGAAGGUCACCUAUUACAACAUGACCAAUUAUCUAUAUUUUUUUUUAUUUGGGUAGGUCACCCAUUACAAUGUGGUCAUUCUUCCACUUGGGUAGGUCACCCAUUACAAUAAGACCACUCUUUUAUUUUUCCUUAGGUAGGUUACUUAUUACAAUGAGACCAUUUUUUCUAGGAACAUCACCCGUUACAACACGACCAGUUCUCCAUAUUUUUUUAUCUGGGUAGGUCACCCAUUACAAUGAGGUCAUUCUUCCACCUGGGUAGGUCACCCAUUACAAUUAGACCACUCUUUCUUUUUUCCACUUGGGUAGGUCGCCCAUAAAAUAGAUCAGAGUAAGUGUGUGUGGGUGGUCGCCCCUGAAAAUAAACCAGUGUGAGUGUGUGUGGACAGGUCGCCCGAGAAAAUAGACCAGUGUAAGUGGGUGUGGGCAAGUCACCCUUGAAAAUAGACCAGUGUGAUUUUGUGUGGGCAAGUCGCCCGUGAAAAUAGAUCAGUGUGAGUGUGUGGGCUGGUCGCCCCUGAAAAUAGAUCACUUUUCUUCAAAAGGGGCAGGUCGCCCAAGAUAAUAAGAUUAUUUUCUUUUUCUUUUCUUUACAAAGCUUACUAUUGUCGCACCCCAAAAAAAUCAGCGUGCGGCAUCGGCUGGCGAUUUUUCGUCUCUUGUGAUUUGAUCUCUAGGAAAGACUUGAUAUCAUCAUACUUCUUUGUCCUCCGCCUCUUUAUCUCAAGGGUUGCCAAUUUUGCUUAACAUUUUCUUAGAAUGGGAAUCAUGGAGUCAGCCCUAUCAUAUGUUUCUUUAUUUCCCCCUAGCUUGAUCAUGCCUCCAAGUGUUCAAUUCAGGUUUGUGGACGAGGCUAUGUGAAUGUAGGUUUGACAAGGAGGUGUUUUCAUGCAGAAUUUUUGGAAUUCCAAAGCUAUUCCAGACACAAAAAUCAUUUUGACAUCGAUUCAAAGCAAACUCAUUCUAAAAAAAUUCAAGUGAUUCCUAUGGAAAGGUUAUCAAAAGUGAUGAAAACUUUUUGUUUUGGCUUUUGGUAAAAAAUAUGAAGUGACCUCUGGUUUGUCAGAAAAGGUUUAAAUUUCAAUUUGAGGGUUAUUGAGAAUCGAGGUUCAAAGCAUUUAUUUUAUUUGCAUGAAUAAUGAUUUGGUUCACAUGAGAAAGCAUUGCCUACCGAUCCAGAUUGCUUGCCUUUGAUCAGAAAGGGCUUGAUUAGGCACGUAAUGUAGGCUUGGGCUCUUUGUUUUUGUUUUCUUCAUAUGGUUUUGAGCAUCAUAAUUUUAUUUUUUAUUUUAUGCUCAAAACUCUUGAUCCUUUGGAUUUUUCUUCAUGUUCCUCUAGAUUUGUUCGGGCACCUUUGAUGAUUGAGAAUUUUCUUUUAUGCCCCCUAGUAUUGCUUGGGCACUUUCGAUCAUUGAAGUUUUCUCUAUGUCAUCGCACUUGCCCCCAGUGUGGGGUGUGAUCCUAGCCAAGGUUAUUUAUCUCAAGAAAAGCAUAAGGCUCAAAAGGGACUGCAAAUGAUAUAUUUUAGCCUCGUGAAAAGAUUAUCAAAGAUGACCUUUCUUCAUUUCAAACUCAUGCAUUUAGGAUCAGUAAGCUUUGCUUUCAUGUGAGUAUACAAUGUGAUUUCUCAUUAUUCAUUCAAAUAAAACUCAGCUUUUGGAGUCACUUCAUGGGUUCUUUUUGUUUUUUUUUUUGGGGUUUUUCUAGGUGUAUGGUUACCUUUCUAAGGAACACUUGAAUUUCUAGAACUCGUUUGUUUUGGACAAACAUCAACAUGAUUUCUGUUUUUGUACUAAACUUUGAAUUCCCAAAAAUCCUAUGAAGGUAUAUUAUGAACACAGGAAAACACAUGAUCUUAUUAACAAGAAAAGGCUCAUUUGACAGGUAAGGUUUUUUUUUUUUUUUUAAUGAAAUUUAGAGCCAAAUUAUCAACAAAACUGGAACAGGUUGAAACAAAAAUCAAGAAGUUUUCUAGGCAUGAUCAAACUAAGGUUUUUUUUUUUUUUUUUUUUUGCAGCAAAAGAAAUGGGCUCCAUUAUGCACUAGUGGUGCAAUUCCCUUUUGUCAGCCUUCCCACUAAAGCUUUUUGCAGAAAAUACAUGAUUGCGCUAAGUUUCUUGACAAAUUUUGCCCCCAAUUUCUUCGGGCUGAGUAAUUGUUGGGUUUUGAACAAAGAUGAUAGGUCGGUUGGAAGGAACUUUCUUGGAGUUAUUUUUCAGUAUCUACUCGAGUAAGCUAGAAGCAAGCCGCACAUGUCUUCAAAAAUUACAACGAGCAUACUCUUCAUCUUCCGAGUUUUUCUUCAUUCAAAGUCGGGUGUUGUAGACUCGUAGGGGACCUACCUUUCAUUCUGGUGCAUGUAUGACAAAUGUAUGAACAUGUAAUCUAUAUGAUGAACUCGCCCUUCGAGGGGUGACAAUAUGGUCGUAACUCUUGUAUGAUGGACAAGAAUCGUGAUUUUUGCUCAAACUCUACAAUGAAAAUUUUCGGAGUGACGGCCAAUGUGUCACCCACAAGUCUUGAGUUCAAGAUGCUUCAAGAAGGGUUUGCCCUUAUACAAAUAACGAUAGCACAUACAACUUAAGGACAUGUUCUAUUUAUUAUGUGAACAUGGGUAAGUUUUCUAUCUGGUCUCAAAAGGGUCUCAUAUCUGCCCAGUGACGUUCUUCGUAAAACAGUAUGGGGGCGUUGCAAGGAAUGGUUAAGGCACGUAUACCCACCAUUACCAAGCAGGCACUCAGAUAUGAGUUGGGUGUUUCACGCAUCUGAACCCUGACCAAUAGUCUUAGGGCAGAUCGCUAGUUCCCCACCUAACCUAGAAGCUUGUGUGUGCUUUCAAAAAUAAAUACAGGUGAUGCAUGAACAAUUCUAUAAAAUGCAUGGAAAAAAAUAUUAACAAAAAGAUAAAAAUGCAAAAAACUUAAACACAUCAAAUACACAAAGCUUAGUCCAAUAAUGUCAGAAACAGUACCUUCCCAGUGAGUCGCCAUUCUGUCGCACCCCAAAAAAAAUCAGCGGUCGGCUGGCGAUUUUUCGUCUCGUGUUGUUUGAUUUGGUUCGUUGGAGUCGCCACUAGUAAUUUAUUGAAGGGCUACUAGGAAACCGGAUGUACUGGUCUUGUCAGAGAUUCGCGGGUAAGGGACUGGUUGUGGUUAGGGAAGGUAUUAGCACCCUAACGCACCCUAAGCUGCUUCACGAAAUGAUGUGUUAAAGAAGUUUUAAUAAUUGUCUUUUCAUCGAAAAUUAGAAAUAUCACUUACGUAUAAGUUAAUAGUUCUUAACCGUGAUCCGAUCAAAAUAUUAAAUUCUUCUUUAAUAUAUUUGCAAUUUUAUCAUUAAAAAAUAUAUACAAAUAAAUAAAACAAAAUAAAAACACACAUUCACUUUCACUAUAUUUGUUUCUUUUUUUUUUCUUUUUUUUUCUUUACACUAUUAACAUCUUACAAAUCACAAAAAUUCAAAAUAAAUCAAAAUAGUACAUUAAACAAUUCAAAAAUAUUAAACAAUUCAAAAAAAUUACAAAAUAAACCCCCAAAAACUACAGGAUCGGUGGAAGGCCUUCCGGAAUCUGCUGAAAUCAUUGCGGCGCGUUGCACCACGCGCCGCUUGUUGGAAAGUCCGGCAAGCAGGGGGCUCUAGAACAGUUUCCCCUUCUCUUCUCUUCCCAGCCUGUGAUGGCUUUCACCGUGACCUGCAACGAAAAAAACAAACCACAGGCAGUCGGUUUUAACCCAUUUUAGUUUAGAUCUGCAUUCUCUCCCAUCUCAUUUUCCGAUCUGCUCAUCUGUGCAUAUUAUUUUGGUUUCCUCUUCUUCUGUUCCAGAUGGUCGGAGGUUGUAGGGGGAGCUGUGGGUGGUCGGUUGAAAGAGGAGCCCGGUGGCAGUGCUGAGGAGAUCGGGUUUGUGACCGGCUGCUGUGGUCUUCAGCUGUGGGGAGAUCGGUGGCGGGUUCGGUGUGCUGGAGGAGCUCAGCCGCCGCUGUGAUGGGCCCUGUUCGUUGACCGGCUGCUGCUUUUCCGUGGCUUGUCCGGGUGUCCGGUGAGCAGGGAAGAAGGGAGGCGGCCAGAGAAGGUGAUGGGUUUGUGGGGGGUAUGGUCUGUGGGUUGAAGGGAAGAGAAAGCUUUUUGGGUGAUGAGGGUGGGGCUUUGGUAGAUGACAGUGAAAAGGCUGGGUUGUGUGAUCGGGAGAGGAGGAAAUGUUGUGGGAUGAGCGGCGGUUUUCCGAAGAGAAAAAAAAAAUCCAAAACCGUGAGGGGCGGCUCCUUUUGUUAGAGAUGACUUUAGGGUUAGGGAUUUUUGUUUUUUUUUUUUUUGAUAUUUCAAAAAUUGCCCCUCCCUCUUUGAAUGUGAGUUGAAGACCAGUAUUUUAUAGGCAAAAAAUGUUGCCAAGUUUUUCAACUUGGUCCCUCAACUUCUUUCUUUUUUGUAAAUUUUGAUUUUUCUUAUUUUUUUAUAUUUUUCGAAAACGAGCAAUAUCAACGUCGACUCAACGAGGAAAAUCAAUGAUUUUAAAAAUGAUGCGUGAAAAGUCGAACGCGUUUGAAAAAUUAAAUUCUUUUCUAGACGACGUUGAAAAUGCUAAAAUAACGAAAAUAUAUUAAAAAACAUAUUUUUUGGAUUUUCUUUGUUUUUCUCUAUUUUUGGAAUUUUUUGAAAAUAUAUCAAAAACAUGGGUCAAAAAUUGGGUAGCAACAACUAUGCAAAACAUUGAGGAGUUUUGCUUCAUAAGAAAUGUAAAGAGGGAGCAUCUGUUGUUACUCAAUUUUGACCCACUUUUUUGCUAAAAAAUUUUUAAAACAACAAAAAUCCAAAAAAUAUGUUUUUAAUAUAUUUGCAUCGUUUUUAGCAUUUUCAACGUCGUCUAAAAAAAGAAUUUAAAUUUUCAAAGGUCUUUCGAAUGCGUUCGACUUUUCACGCCUCAUUUUUAAAAAUCAUUGAUUUUCCUCAUUAAGUCGACGUUGAUAUCGCUCGUUUUCAAAAAAUACAAAAAAAUUAAGAAAAUCAAAUUUAUAAAAAAAGAAAAAAAGUUGAUAGACCAAUUUUGAGGCCCAAGUAACAUUUUAUCUAUAAGUAGGAGUUUCCACAACUCACACAAAGGAGGGGGGCAAUCUUGUACCAAAAUUAGAAGAGGCAACACAAAAAAAAACUAAACAACCUAACCCUACCAGCUCCCACUCUAAGGGAGCAGCUGUUCUCCCUCUUGAAUUAAAAAGGAGUUGUAUCCCCCCAACAACUAAUUGGAUUUAUUUUUUAGAAAACAAAAUCGUCGUCCCCUGGGGUCCUUAGUGGUUGCUCUCCCAGAACAGAGCCAAGGACCCCCGACCAUUUUAGCUCUCUGUUUUCUCCCUUGCACCCGAAGCAGCCCCAUUCCCAGAAAUCUUCCCUUCUUAGUCGUUCCCUCACCCUAGACAACCCCAACAACGGCCACCAACCCUUUCUCUUUCUCUGCACCAAGAUCAUCCCCAUCACCCCUCACCAGGCUCGCCUCAAUUUUCCCCUCUUAACCAUUCUUCCCUCAGCUAACAGACCACACCCACAUAACCCCCUAAACCAGCACCCCACUUCCCAUCACCUCUCCUCUUCCCUCGAUCUUCUCCUUCAACUCCUCACCCAACUCAUGGACUAGCCAAGAGCACCCCCUCACUCUCCUCUCAACCGGUCUUUGCCGUCAGCAGCAACAUCCCCUCACUAGAUCGGUUCGCCGCUCCUUCAUCCUCUGCAAGUGAACGCAGAAGGAAGAUAAAGGGAAGUAGCAAGUGAGAAUCCAUCAGCGCUGCAAGCAUCUUCGGUCUCCAGAAGCAGGUACGCCUGUUUCUUCAUUUGUGCAUUCUUUAAAUUUGUAAGAACACUGCGCGAAGGUAAUUUAAUUACCUUCGUGCAGCGCCACUCCAGCGUGAACAAGUUCACGCAUGCUUCGGCCCCAGCCGGGUCAUUGGCUUGUUAAAAGUUGAAAAUGAAGAAAAUUAAAUUUAAAAAUAAGAUACAACAAAAGAAUAUGAGUUUAUCCGAGUUAACCCAUAAAACAUGUGACCCGAGCAUAAGAUCGAGACAACCUCAUAGAAAACAAAUCAAAAUAAUUCAUGAGGUCUAAUUCAUAAUCAACCAAAUGUUAAAGGAUAAAAUAGAAAAAAUUCCAAUGAAAAAGUCAAUAAAAACUCGAGUUAACUAGGUCAACCCCUCAAACCCACGACUUAUGUAAUGAUAAUCUUAUAUAAAGCAAACCAAAAUAAAUCAUGAAACAUAAUUCCCAACCAACCUAAUGUUGAAUGAUGAAAUUGAAAAAACAAAUUUUCAAUUAAAAAGUAUAAAUAAAACUGGAGUCAACCCGCCAAGGUUGCACGUAUUAGAAAUAUUAUUUGAAAAUAAAUUUCUUUUUAUUUCAAAAUUAAAGUUCAUGUAUAUAAAAGAUUAAAAAAAUAUAGAUGAAUCAGAAAUAACUCCUAAAAAAUUAAAUGCAUAAUUAAAAUAUAAUUGUUAUUUCAAAUAAGCUUUCUAAAAAGCAUAAAAGAGAGAAAGAAUAUUAAUCUAAAUAAAAUUAAAAUUAAAAAUAAGAUUAAUUUAAAAAAUAGAAACGAAAAACAAAAUAAAAUAUUUUUUCCUUAACAAAAAAAAAAGUAAACAAUGUUGUCCAUAGUAAAACUUGAGGGGUGAACCCGGACCAUGAGCUCAACCAAGUUUAAUAUUUUUUUCCCCUUUAAAUUUAUAGCAAACAUUAAAAAAGUAAACAAUGUUGUCCACAAUAAAACAUAAAAGGGUGAACAAUAUGGCUGCAUGAUAUUCACCUCACAUAUUUUCCUUUUAAAUUUAUAGCAAAACCUUAAAAAAACAAAACAAAACAAAAAAACUAAUGUCGUCCACAAUAAAACGUGAGGGGGUGAGCAGUGUAUCUGCACAGUGUUUACCCCAUACGCUUUAGUUUAUUUAUGGUAAAUCGAGACCAUGAAUUCAAUUGAGUUUAAUAUUUUCCCUCUUAAAUUUAUAGCAAAACCUUAAAAAAACAAAACAAAAAAACUAAUGUCGUCCACAAUAAAACGUGAGGGGGUGAGCGGUGUAUCUGCACAGUGUUUAUCCCAUACGCUUUAGUUUAUUUAUGGUAAAUCGAGACCAUGAAUUCAACUGAGUUUAAUAUUUUCCCUUUUAAAUUUAUAGCAAACCUAAAAAUAAAUGAACAAUGUCAUCUACUGUAAAAUAUAAGGAAUGGUUUAGUUUAUAAAAAAAGCCAAUGACCCGGAUGGGCAAAAAUCAAAGAAAGCAGGCGUGAAGUGAUUUCACGCGUGCAUGAGCAGACUAGAGAAAAUAAGUUUUAGAAUGUGUGAAUUAAAAAUUCAAAGCAAACAGUAGCCGAUGAAUUAAAAUGAAAAGCGGGGAAAGAGAAGUUUGCUUACUUGGUCUGCAGCUCCUGAAGAUGAAGACGAAGUCGGUUCUCUCGGGUGGUUCUUCUUUUUCUGGUCACUGUUCGUCCUCCAUUUUUCUGUGGUUCUUGGUCUGUUCCUCCAUUUUUUUAGUUCUUCCUCUGUUUCUGUUUCGGUUUGUUCCCCUGCUCGUCGUCUUCCCUCAGUUUUUUCGUUCCCAGUCUCCUGCGUCUUCUGCCUCCUUCUUUCUCCCCAGUUUUUUUAGUUUCUUUUCUCUGGUUCUGUGAUCCCCUGUCUCUGGUUUUUUCGCUGUUUUCCCCCCGUUGUUCGUGGCUUUCUUCUUUAGCCUCCUCUGUUUCUUUGAGAAGAAACAGAGGAACGAACGUCUUUUAUUUCUAGUCUCCCCGGUUCUGUGAUUACCCCAUGUUCGUGUUCCAGUGUCUUCGUUCUCCUGUUUCUGGGUUUCUUGGUCUGCUGCCUCUAGGUAUUUGUUUCCCCCCCUCUCUGUGCUGUGUUUUCUUCCACCCCCCUUCUCGCUCUCUCAUCUUCUCUGGCUUUAUAGCCAAGGAAUGCCAAGCAUCUCUACGGCUUCAAAGCCAUUACUGAAGAAACCGUUCCUGUGGAAGGAGACGAAGAAGGCGAUGGUUGGUUUCUAGAAACGGCGUCGUUUGUGUGAUGGGAAUGGCCAUUUGCAAUCUAGUCACUGAAGGUCUGAAAUCAUGCAAUCAAGCCCCUGGAUAAAAUGUAGUUGGAUCCUUGUAUUUCCGCGCCAUUUUCAAGCUGGUCCUUGUGGUUUACGUUUUGCAAUUUGGACCCCAAUUAAAAUCUAAACUUUGAUAUUCUUCAAUUAAAUCCCUGAUUUCAUUAAUUUAAUUAAAUCCAAAGUCCAAUUAAGUCGAAAACUUAAUCAAUUCUCCAAUUAAGCCCCUUAUUGGAUUAAUUAAAUUGAUUCCAAGCUCAAUCAAGUCUCAAACCUUUAUCAAUUCUCCAAGGAAACCCUUGAUUGGAUGAAUUAAAUUAAUUCCAAGCUUAAUUAAGUCUCAAAACUUUAUCAAUUCUUCAAUUAAACCCUUAAUUGGAUUAAUUAAAUUAAUUCCAAGCUUAAUCAAGUCUCAAAACUUUAUCAAUUCUUCAAUUAAACCCUUAAUUGGAUUAAUUAAAUUAAUUCCAAGCUCAAUUAAAUUAAUUUCAAAGUUUAAUUAAACCCCAAAACUUCCAAUCAUGUUGCCCUUGACCCAAAUUUUAAUUCAUUCUUCAUCUAUUUCAUUUUUACUUGUUUUUUUUUUAUAAUAAUAAUUAUUUUUUUAUUUUUUUUCAUUAAAUAAAAUAAUAAUAAUAAUUAAAAUAAAAUGAUCAAAAAUUAAGUUAUGACACUCGUGUCCGUGGAUGCUGAAUAUCAUCAAUGAGAGCACAAGCUGAUUUAACAGUAAAAAUCUCAUUCUUCUCUCACUGCCACACCCUUCUCUCAGCUGAAUAAAAAAUAGAUAAAUUCCACUCUGCUUCAGGUUUUGAUGACUCCAAACGCUGACACUCCCUAUUCUCAGCUUCAUGUAUGACCCCACAUUUAGCAAUACAUGUCAAUGAACGCGUUUGCUAUGAUCACACUGAUUCGUUGUGUUUUGUAACGAUGGUGUAGUUUCAAUGGAUUCCCUGACCAAAUUCCAAGCAAUCCAAUUGACCACAAGUAGAGAGCACACGAACUAAUGUUCUCCAAUGGAACAAACGCAGCCUCCAGCAUGUUACAAACCAUUCUAAAGCUUCCUUUGGGUGGUUGCCCAGCAAUGAUGGCACUCCAGGAAACCACAUUCCUCUCCGGCAUCUCAUUAAACGACAUCCUUGCCAGCUCUAGCUCACCGCUUUUAGCAUACCCAUUAACCAUGCUCGUCCAAGAGAACACAUCUCUAACUCCCAUGGUAUCAUAGAUCCCUCUUGCAGGAUCCAAGAAGCCACAUUUCACAUUCAUGGUGAUUUGCAUUUCUAGUUUUACAUAUUCGUGAAAACUCUUCCCUUCUGCGAGCAAGCUGAACCAGCGGCUAUCAUAGUGACCUCUUCUGGCUCCACAUUGCCCUCCACUGACAUCGAGUCAAAAAGCUUCCAGGUCUCAUCCCAACAGUUACGCUUAGAACACCCAUCAGUCAUAGACAGAAUUAAAGUCCAUCUCUAACAGGAAUUCCAUCAAACAAGUGUCAAGCAAAACCCAAACAACCACGCAGGUCAUAAAAACGAGCCAACCCAUCUUGAAACAACAUAGCAGAAACAAAACCCAUCUUUCGAAUACCACAAUGAACUGAUUUCCCUCCUAAAACUCUCAAAACCUGCUCGCCGCACGCUUUGAGCGCAGGAACAAAGCUCCUCCAGUCCAUUUCAGCGCCAUUCUGAAGCAUUUGGCAGAAAACAGGAAGCCACUACCGCCCAUUUUGGCUUCAGAGUAGCCUCUAAUCAUGGUAUUCCAAAUAUAAGGCCAUUUUGGUUUUGUAUCUGCGAAAACAGAAGACGAGCAUGAUUUAUAGCUGCAGUGUGAGAGAGGGCAAAAGGCCAAGGCAAGACAAAGCUUGGGGGUAGAUUAGCCAGACUAUAAAGGAGAAGGACUUGUUUGUACUUGUUCCAAGAUUGUGAGUCAAAAUAAUACCGCUUCUUUUCCUUCAAACGCAAUCUCGUCCUACGUUCCAGGGAAUCUUUUUACCUAAUCUUUUAAUAUAUAUUUGAAUGGCAUCUUGGCUUAAGCUCCUUCAAUUAUUGCUUUCGAAUAUUCUCAUGGUAUUGCUCUUUGUUUUUGAGGAUCCAAUUAAUAAGCAAAUCAUGGAGACUUGGCUGUUGACCUCAACACUCUCGUCUGCUUUGACUCCUUCAAUAUCAUGGAUGUGAACCAGGCUUGGAAUAUUGGGUGUUCUUGUUUUUGAUACAUGUAAAGAGGUAAGCUAAGCAUCUCUUUCAAGAUCUCUCUAGCUGCUGCAGCGAUUCCAAAUCGCUUUCUUUCUUCAAGUUCCUUAGAAGAAGUAUUGUAUAGCAACCAACUUUCUUUGCGUUUUGCUCCAGGUCUGGGCCAAUUUUGAUGCCUUUUGUGAAUCCCUCCAUCUGGGCUUAUCAAAAGAGGAGGAGGAAAGAAGUAAGUUUCUCUUCUCAGUUUCAGUGCUUCUUUAUUGAAUUACUCUCACUAUUCCCAUUACGUUCUGUGAAUUUUAAAGGACUAGACAUGUUUCAAUUCAGUACCGAGCUAGUUUCUUGAUGGUUGCUUGCUCCAAACUUCUUUACAAAACCAAUCAAACUUCACAUAAACUAGGAAGGAAAGGGGGAAGUUGGAAUCUUGAGUUCACAGGCUAAUGGUGGAGUCCAUGUUACAAUUGCUUUGCUUAAACAAAUCCGUUCCGGUUAGCGUUCUGUUUUUUCAAUUGAAAUAAAAUGAACAUAAUUUCAACUCACAUCUAUAUAUAACCACAAUUUUAAAAGUUGGGCUUUAGUCGGUAUGACCUAAUUAAUUGGAUGAAUUCAAUGACAACAUCAGCGACUAAUAAAACUAGACUAAAAAUAUUAUGGAAUUCAAUCCUCAGUAAGUUAAACUUAUUGUUAAAUAAAUAAAAUUUAAAAAAUCAAAUUCAAAAAAAAAAAAAAGACAAAGAAUGACCUUUAAAAACAAAAUUAUGAAAAUACAAUCUUCAAUUUUGCAAGAUCUUUCUAAACUUUUAACUUGAUAUAUUACAAUAUAUUAGGAGAUUCCUCCUAAAAUUUCAGCCUCAUCUAAUAGUCAAAUUAAAAAAUAUAAUUGAUAUUAUAAAAAUAGACAAUAUUUAAAAAAAAUGAAAAAAAAAAUUAUUGCCCCUCUUUUAGUUUUACACGGUCCCUCCAACCUAUUAUUAUUAUUAUUAUUAUUAUUGCCCCUCUUUUAGUUUUAAGAUAUCCCAUGUUAUUUUAUCAGUCGAAAGUUUUAUAAAUACCAGAGUUUCCAGAAAUCCCCAAAAUAUCAUCAAAGUUUUAGGAACAUAAUUUUAUAGAUGAUAUGUUAUUACGAUAGGAUUAUAUCUCAAUAUUGACACCAUAGGAUUUGAAUCCAUCGAUCUUAAUUUGUUUCAUAGCAUCACCAAUGAGUUAGUUCCCAUGAUUUCAAAAACUAUAUAUAUGGAUUCUCUAUGGUUUUAAAUCAAUGGAAAUCUUCAUUUUCAGACACUUGAAAAGCGCACAAAAUAGAAAAAAAUAAAAAUAAAAAACCUACAAAGUUGAAAAACCUGGAAAUGUAAAAAACUUGAGAAUUACAUGCACGUAAUACAUAUUCAAGAAACUAAGAACAGCAACAUAUUUAUUUAAUUCGACGGACGCAGAUAACAUUGAUUAUGAUCACUACAAACACUCAAACAUAAACACGUACAUAAAUUCAUUCUUCUAUAUAUAUCUGGAUAUGCAUGGCGGAGCAGCCACGCUCCAUGCAAAUAAUAGCUAGUUAGGUCUUGUCACAUCACCCCAAUCCUCCUUACCAAACAGCUUGAUACUCCUCUUAGCUUCAAUCCUGAACUGUGACCCCAGGUUCUGGUCAUCCUCACGAUGAAGAACAACCAUGUCACCAACUCUCAGUUCAUAAUAUUUAACAAAUUGACGCCAGCCCUUAGAAAGCACUGGCUUGUCAUAGUCUCCAUCUCUCUUCAGGCAACGAAUAACUCGAAGCUCACCACAGCUAUCUUUAACAUGCAAAUCAACAGAAUUAUUUCCAGCAAAAUCUAAAUGCUGCAAGCAAUGAGCUGGGAACGAGAACCGAAAACGAACAUCAGUAUCUGUCAACACUUUGCUGAAGAUCUGCAUUUUUUUUCUCAAGGGUCGUAAAAAGAGAGAGAAAUGGUUAUGUUUAAGCUAUCUGCAGCUGGAUUGAUAUGGUUUCUUGCAGGUAGUUGUUGAUUUAUAGUAAAUCACGGUAGAAAGACAUCGAGCGAGAGAUUUCGGAAAUCUUGUUCAUUUGAUCGAUUUCGCAUGGCGUUAGUUAAAUCUUGGUGGAUUAUUUGUAGAUAGAACAAGAGAAACGCAGGCUUAUCAAAGACUAAAUGAGCCAGGAGGUACGCUCGUAUUGCCUCUCGUGCACCUCGUUCGUUCUAACUUGCGAAAACCAAACACUUGCUCAAGAUCUUGCAUGCUUGUCGAAGUGUUUAGUGAACUAGAGCAUCUUGUGCAACUUGGACAAUGGCCAAGGACCCAUUUAAUAAAAAACUACAAGAAUAAAUAAGGUUUAUUUUUCAAUUAUAUUUUAUGAAAUGAAAAUUGUCCUCUUAUUAGACAUGCAUGAAUAAUAAUAAAAUAUAUUUCUUAAAAAUUAAAUUUUAAAAGGUUUCAUUUAUAAUUUUAUCUAGGUUACCUAUUCAUUUUAAGUCUGGGUCAUGAACUUAAGUUUGCGUCAUGAACUUGGGAUGAUGUCAUCUCUUAAGAGAUGAGGCUUUCACUCUUUCAAUUAUCUAGCAUUAACAAAAAAAUAAAAUUAAUUACAUGUUUAUGGAGUUAUUAAUCAUGCUCAAUAAUUUUUACAGUGUGCAACUUAAAUAUGAAAAUGGAGAUUCAUAUAAUACAUUGUUAUCAGUUAAUUGUAUUUUGCCAUUACUAUUGGCUCUUGUGAUUUUAGAUAAAGCUGGUUCUUGAUCUUGCAGGCGUGUGCUCUAAGUCCGCCCAAAGUUUCAUCAAUAAGGUCCACAGAGAGGGAGAGCUACAUCCUGCAUUUUCUUGAGAUUUCUGCGAGGUUUUUGUUCGAAUAAGCAACAAGGUGCACGAUAUUGCUGGAGGGCAAGUCCUUCCAUGCCUGUCCAAAAUUCGAAGUCAUUUUCAAUUCAAGGUCAACAAUAUAUUUUUUAUAAUAUAAUAAUGCUAGAAUGACGCUCGAUCUCCUCAGCAUGCAUCGAGUAAUCGCGUUUGGAUUUCGAGCUCCACUGAUUUGAAAUGCUCGGUGUCUGUGUUGUAUAAAUGUAGCCCAAAGAAUAAAUUAAGAGGGUUUGGAGAAAUUUGCCACUCGGGAUCAUGUCUGUACUAUCGACCGAGACGGUCAGCACUGUGGGCGUGCAUUGACGUUUCUUCUCGGAGGAGGCUAUGUGAUUUCUUUUUGACAGCACUGUACUUAAGCAUUGCCCUUUACAAUUACAAUUUUAUGUGCUGCAGCAAAUCGCUUUCUUUCUUCUAGUUCUUCCUUAGCAGGAGUUUUGUAUAGCAACCAACUUUCUUCUUCGCGCUUUUCAAAGCCGCAAUAAUAGACUUAAAUGCGCGGAUCACCAAAAGUUAAUUUUAUUUAUAGUGAAAGUGGAUGGUUCUUCGCCUCUCUCUCUCUCUCUUUUUUCUUUUUUUGAAGUACUAUUUUAAUUUUGUUUACCAACAAAAGUUAAUUGCCGGUUGAUUAAAACAAUAUAGUGAUAUGCACCCCGGGAAGCGAGCAAGCUGAACAAGCUGCAAGCAGCGACCUCAUUUUUUCAUGUUACUAGAAAUCUAGAGUGUUUUUAAGAAUUUAUUAUUUAAAGAUAUGAAUUUUUUAUUUUUUUGAAAAAUUCUUUAAAAAUUGGGUUGUCGCAAACCACAAGUCAUUCAACUGUCCACGACAGUCCACACGAACUACCGAUAAAAAAUCUCUUAAAUUUCUAUUUCGGAGAGUGGAAUUUCUAUGCCUAGAGUACUAGCCUUUUAUUCUGUGACUUGCAUAGUUUUUUUAUCCAACAUACAACAACAAAAUUAAGAAGCAUAGCUUACUAUUUAUAGAAAAAUCUAAAAAACCCUAUAAAUUGGAAGACAUUUCAAUUUGCCCCUUGCUUAAUCGAGUCUUUCCUUGAUUUUUCUAGGUCUAGAAAUAUAAUAUUUGUAUUCUAGUCCUUAAUUUCUAAAAUAUAUUUUAAUCAAGUCAUACCUAAUUAAAUUAUCCCAAUUUAAUUUCUGACUAGUGGUUUUUAAUGUGUAUGACUCAUUAGGUUCCUAAUAUAUUGGCCCAAAUACAAAUUAUAAUUCUAAUUAAAUAUAAUUAAAUAAAUCAAACAAUUUAAUUUAUUAUCAAUUCAACAAUUGAUUAAUUUAUAUUUAAAGAUCAGGUGCAUCGUCUAAUAACGUGUCAUGAUCCCCUAAAUAUUAGAGAAGUCAUUGGUGGUUUGACUUAACAUUUGAGUGACUAGUUUCUUAGUGUAAUUAAUAUCAUUUCAUCAAUAAUGUUCCGAUUAAUUAGUUGCGGGUGAAGCUGAGAAGAGAAAAAAGAAAAAUCUUACCUUAAUAUAGUUGCGAGUGAAGCUAAGAAGAGAAAAAAAAUAAAUUCAUAAAGUAUAUUAAUUUAAAAAAAUCUGAGAAGAGAAAAGAAAAGAAAAAGAGAGAGAAAAAGACAUACUUGAGAAUGGAGAAGAAGAGGAGUUGAAGAGAAAAGAUAAGAGAAAGAAAGAAGAGGAUGUUGUUGUUUUUUACAUAAGGGGAAGAAGAAGAAGAAGCAGAAUAUGCUCGUCUGUUGUGAAAUGAGGGAUUCUAUUUAUUAGGGUAUUUUACUAUUGGUUUUACCGACGGAUAUUAAUAUUUCUAACUUUCAUUGGUGAUUUCGUCUAUAAUAUUUAAUUUAAAUUUUCAAUUUAAUUUAAAAAAUUCAGAAACCACCAAAUAUCACCAACGACUUUUCAAUCCGUUGGUGAUUCUAUUUGUAUUAUUUAAAUUAAAUUUUAAAUUUACUCAAAAAUUUUCAAAAACCUGCAAAAUAACACCAAUGACUUUUCAAUUCGUCUAUGAUUUUGUCUAUAAAGAGCAAUAAUUAACUGUGCAAUUGGAAAGUGAACAGUUCCAUUGCUCUUUGAAAAAUACCGACGAAAUGUUCUGUCGGUGAUUCCCUUUGUAAUUGACAUGAUAAACAAUGUUAGGCAAAAGUGAACACUUUACUGAUGAUUUUACCAAAGGAUUUUACCGACGGAAUUAAUUACGUCGGUAAUUCUUUUGGUAUAAAUGACAUAUCAUCGGUUUUUUUUUGCUUUGUUUUAAUUCUUUUUUUCCCACCGUAAUUCCCUUGGUAGAUACUGAGAGAAUAUUUUUGUCGGUAAAAUUCACUAUAAUUUUUUGACUGAAAUAUUUUGUCAGUAUUUCUGUUUGUCUUUAUCAAUUUUCUGGAAGUGCUCCACCAUAAUUAAUGUGUAAAACAACAUUGUAUAUAUCACUUGCUGAAAAUCUAGCAAGUGAUAUUUUUGAUCAUUUUAUGGACCUAAAAAUCCAUACUCAUUUGAGUCAAGAGAUAUGAGAGUCGCUACCUAGUUAUUUGGUUUAGAGUCACUAGGAAAUCCGGGUAUACUGGUCCUAUCAAAAAUUCUAAGGGUAAGGAAUUGGUUGUGGCUAGGAAAGGUAUUAACACCCCUAGCAAAAAGAGGAGGGUAAAAGGGUAUUUUAAAUUAAAAUAAACCAUGUGGUCAUAACACAAAAGGGGAGGGGUAAAGGGGUAAAAUACCCUAAAACCAUCUCUAUCUCCCACUUUUCUUCUAAGUGUCGCCGAUAAGGCACCUUGCCCUUGCUACCAGUGUGCUUUCCAAUGACAGCCAAGGCUAUCAUUGCACCAAGCAACAGAAACCAAGGUCAUUGUUGCCUACAUCCACACGAGGCCCAACACUGCGAGUAACAUCUAGCACGCCUGGUGCUGCCACCCAUGACAACGUGAGACAUUGCUACACAUACUUGUUUUGUAAAAAAAUCUGAUUUUAAAAAAUCAUGAGAAAAUUUGACUUUUUAGAAGAAAAAAAUCUUUAUUUCGCACAUAAAAUUAAUUUCUAAUUAACACUAAUAAAAAUAAAAACGUGCAAUCAAACAAUCCUAAUUCACCUAACGAAGGCGCUAAUCCCACUAUUGGGUUUCCAUAAUGGCAUACACACAGUAGAAAGAAUAAAAAAAAUAUUCGAAGUCCAUAGGAUCUCGUUAGACAAAUCUAGAGUUGUUUAGGGAUUUAUUACCUGAAGAUCUGAACUUCUUCGGCUUUGAAUAAUUCUUUAAAGGUUGAGUUGUCGCAAACCACAAGUCAUCCAAUUGUUCAGCUUCCAACGGUAAUCUACACGAACCACUAGUGAAAAAUAUUCUAAAUCUCUAUUUAAGAGAGAGGAAUUUCUAUGCCUAGAGUACUAGCUAUUUAUUCUAUGACUAGUAUAGUUUUUUUUUUUUUUUGUCUAAGACAGAUAAUAACAAAAUUAAGAGGCAUAGCUUACUAUUUAUAGAAAAUUCCAAAAAUCCCUAUAAAUUGGAAAACAUUUCAAUUUGUCCCUUGAAUAAUAUCCACAUAUUAUUGUUCUCUCUAUGGACCUGUCUCUUUUAUGUAUUGGGGGAAUGUUCAUUUUUGUUGCCUAUCUGAACUUUUUUAAAAAUUUUAUUUUUUAUUUUAAAUUAAUUUUUUAUGUUUUAAAAAAAAACUUUAUGUGUGAAUAUUAAAAUUAGAUUUUUAAAAAAAUAAAAUAAAAAUUAUUUUAAUAUAUUUUCAAAUAAAAAACACUUUAAAAAAUAAUUUUUACCAUAAUAUCAAACACAACCUAAAUUUUAAAAGAAAAAUAAAAGGAUUUAUAUAAGGAAUGUGUAAUAGCAAGAUUUCAAACACUAAUCAACAAUAAACUCAACCAUAUAUAUUUACAAUACAAAAAUGUAAAACUACUCACAAAUUACUAUUAUUAGCUACAUUAUCUGCUUUCACAAAUUAUUAUUAUUAAAACAGGCAUGUCUUGAGCCUCAUAUAUUGAACUCAUGCGAUUCAAAAGUCUAAAAUUAUAUACACAUUCAAGACUACAACUUUUAUGAAGGAUGCUAGGUCAGAUAAAUUUGUUUUGAAAGUAAAACCCCAAACACAAGUUGAAAGACGAGAUUAGUCUUCUAAUUUGAUGAGAAAACUUACAGGAGGGAGUUGUAUCUUGAGAAGGAAUUUAAGAGUAUCGGAAGGAUUGUUUUCUACAUCCUUUAAACUUCAUAUCUUUAUCCUUGAUUUUAUCAUGAAAUCUUAGUCCUGAGAUACAAAAACAGGGAAAGACCAACUAGACAGUUGGGUUCUAUUUUGCUCCUGGGAUUUGGAGAGAGAUUAUCUUAAGUGCUGGAAUUUUCAGAGAUCAUGAGCAACUAAUUUCUAAUUUCGAUUUAAGGAGAAUAUACUCCAUUUCUAUUAGAAAGUUGUGAGAAGUAAUGUUGUUAUUGUAAUUCUUUUAAAUUCAAAUAGUUAAUUUUCCUAGUUUAGCUUUAAUGUACUUAUUUAGCCCAUGAGAGAAGCAUAAGCAGCGAUCAUGGAAUUUCGAGAAACAAAGAUUUUCCCUUUUCAUGUCAUUUGAAACGUUUUUAGCUUCAUGUUUAUAUAUACACACACAUACUAAUUAGCUAUUAAAAAAAUGACAAACUAACUAAAAGAAAAACUUACAUUAAAAAAAAAAACAAAGAAACAACAAAAAAUACUAAUAUUGAGCAUUAAACUACCUCAAUGUAUAAUUUGAAUAUCUAGCUAGAUUAAUAUCUAUAUAAAUAAAAUUUUGAAAUUUAGCACGAAACCAUUAAACUAUACGAUGAAAAAUUAAAUCAUAAAUUUUAUUUCAACCAAGAUCAACAGCACCGUAUAUAGAUGACCAACAAAUGAUUUCAUUCCUGCAAGGAAAGCUGAAUAGUCUUCAGCAUACUCAAUCCAUUGCAUAAUCAUAACUAAUAAUUCUUCUAUAGGCAAGAAAUUUUCUGGAACUCAGACAACCCCUGUAACAACAACCACAAAUUAAAACAUCUCAAUUUUUUAGGAGGAAAUAUACUUGCUAGAGUUAAGUAUCAAAAUUCUCAGAUCCUGCAUGCUGAUUUAACAGUAAAAAUCUCAAUGGAUUCACUGACCAAAUUCCAAGCAAUCCAAUUGACCACAAGCAGAGAGCACACGAACUGAUGUUACAAACCAUUCUAAAGCUUCCUUUGGGUGGUUGCCCAGCAAUUUUGAUAAACGACAUCCUUGCUAGCUCUAGCUCUCCGCUUUUAGCAUACCCAUUAACCAUACUCGUCCAAGAGAGCACAUCUCUAACUCCCAUGGUAUCAAAGAUCCCUCUUGCAGAAUCCAAGUAGCCACAUUUCACAUGCAUUGUGAUUUACAUUUCUAGUUUUACAUAUUCGUGAAAACUCUUCCCUAUUCUCAAACCCCCCUUCUGCGAGCAAGCUGAACGAGCGGCUAUCAUAGUGACCACUGACAUCGAGUCAAAAAGCUUCCAGGUCUCAUCCCAACAGUUACGCUUAGAGUACCCAUCAGUCAUAGACAGAAAGUCCAUCUCUAACAGCAAUUCCAUCAAACAAGUGUCGAGCAAAACCCAAACAACCACGCAGGUCAUAAAAACGAGCCAACCCAUCUUGAAACAACAUAGCAGAAACAAAACCCGUCUUUCGAAUACCACAAUGAACUGAUUUCCCUCCUAAAACUCUCAAAACCUGCUCGCCGCACGCUUUGAGCGCAGGAACAGAGCUCCUACAGUCCAUUUCAGCGCCAUUCUGAAGCAUUUGGCAGGAAAACAACAAGCCACUACGGCCCAUUUUGGCUUUAGAGUAGCCUCUAAUCAUGGUAUUCCAAAUAUACCUGCAGUGUGAGAGAGGGCAAAAGGCCAAGGCAAGACAAAGCUUGGGGGUAGAUUAGCCAGACUAUAAAGGAGAAGGACUUAUUUGUACUUGUUCCAAGAUUGUGAGUCAAAAUAAUACCGCUUCUUUUCCUUCAAACGCAAUCUCGUCCUACGUUCCAGGGAAUCUUUUUACCUAAUCUCCUAAUAUAUUUGAAUGGCAUCUUGGCUUAAGCUCCAUCAAUUAUUGCUUUCGAAUAUUCUCAUGGUAUUGCUCUUUGUUUUUGAGGAUCCAAUUAAUAAGCAAAUCAUGGAGACUUGGCUGUUGACCUCAACACUCUCGUCUGCUUUGACUCCUUCAAUAUCUUGGAUGUGAACCAGGCUUGGAAUAUUGGGUGUUCUUGUUUUUGAUACAUGUAAAGAGGUAAGCUAAGCAUCUCUUUCAAGAUCUCUCUAGCUGCUGCAGCGAUUCCAAAUCGCUUUCUUUCUUCAAGUUCCUUAGAAGGAGAAUUGUAUAGCAACCAACUCUCUUUGCGUUUUGCUCCAGGUGUGGGCCAAUUUUGAUGCCUUUUGUGAAUCCCUCCAUCUGGGCUUAUCAAAAGAGGAGGAGGAAAGAAGUAAGUUUCUCUUCUCAGUUACGUUCUGUGAAUUUUAAAGGACUACACAUGUUUCAAUUCAGUACUGAGCUAGUUUCAAUUCAAACUUCUUUACAAAAGAAAAAUAAAGAAAAGAAAACUGUCCUCUGAUGUGAAUGAGUAAGCAAACUUCACAUAAACUAGGAAGGAAAGGGGAAGUUGGAUUCUUGAGUUCACAGGCUAAUGGUGGAGUCCAUGUUACAAUUGCUUUGUUUAAACAAAUCUGUUCCAGUUAGUAUUCUGUUUUUCCAUGUUUUAGUUUCAUAGCGUUUUGACAUAUCGUUUCAAACCGUUUAUAAUUCAAAAUAUUAAUUUAACAAGUAUAAUUUCAAUGUAUAACCCCAAUUCAAAUUAUGUAAUUUAAAUUUUAAACACUAGUAUAAAAGUUGGAUUUGAACUGGUAUGACCUCAUCAAUUUGAUAAGUUCGAAGAUAACCUAGAAUCCUGGAUGACUAGUAAUAAUAUAAUUUGGCUAAAAUCAUUAAAGAAGACAACAUAUUAAAUCGAUCCGAGUUAACUUGAGUUAACUUUUUAAAUCAAUGACCCGAGUUAAAAGAUUAUAAUAAUUUUAAAUAAAUCAAAUCAAAAUAAAUCAUACAGCUCAAUUCACUAAUGAGUUAGUUCUCAUGAUUUCAAAAACUAUGUGUGUAGAGUAUCUGGUUUUAAAUCAAUGGAAAUCUUCAAUUUCAGACACUUGAAAAGCGCACAAAAUAGAAAAAGAUAAAAAUAAAAAACCUAAAAAGUUAAAAAGUUAAAAAACCUGGAAAUGUACUUAAAAACCUGAAGAAAAAAAAAACUUAACUCUUUGGAAACGUAAUUUGAGAUCAGUACAUAUAUAACUCAUACUACUAGAGACAGAAUCUGAUCACAUAUAAUUAAUUAAAUCCAUUAUUAAUGAUGGGAAUUACAUGCACGUAAUACAUAUUCAAGAAACCAAGAACAGCAACAUAUUCAUUUAAUUAGACUCAAACACUCAAACAUACAUAAAUUUACACACAAAAAAACACCAAACUUAGGAAAUUCAUUCUUCUAUAUAUAUCUGGAUAUGGCCGAACAUCCUCGCUCCAUGCAAAUAAUAGCUAGUUAGCUCUUGUCACUUCAACCCAAACCUCCUCACCAAACAGCUUGAAACCACUCCUCCUCUUAGCUUCAAUCCUGAACUGUGACCCCAGGUUCUGGUCAUCCUCACGAUGAAGAACAACCUUGUCACCAACUCUCAGUCCAUAAUGAGCAACAAAAUCACGCCAGCCCAUAGAAAGCUCUGGCUUGUCAUAUCCUCCAUUUCUCUUCCGGCAACGAAUAACUCGAAGCUCACCACAGCUAUCUUUAACAUGCAAAUCAACAUAAUUAUUUCCAGCAAAAUCUAAAUACUGCAAGCAAUGAGUUGGGAACGAGAAACGAUGAUGAACAUCAGUAUCUGUCAACACUUUGCUGAAGAUCUGCAUUUUUUUCUCAAGGGUCGUAAAAAGAGAGAGAAAUGGUUAUGUUUAAGCUAUCUGCUGGAUUGAUAUGGUUUCUUGCAGGGAGCUAUCUGUUGAUUGAUAUGGUUUCUUGCAGGGAGCUAUCUGUUGAUUUAUACUAAAAACUAGCUAGCUACUGUAUUCACGGUAGAAAGACAUCGAGCGAGAGAUUUCGGAAAUCUUGUUCAUUUGAUCGAUUUCGCAUGGCGUUAUUUAAAUCUUGAUGGAUUAUUUGUAGAUAGAACAAGAGAAACGCAGGCUUAUGACUACGCUUUUUCAAAGACUAAAUGAGCCAGGAGGUACGCUCGUAUUGCCUCUCGUGCACCUCGUUCGUUCUAACUUGCGAAAAGCAAACACUUGCUCAAGAUCUUGCAUGCUUGUCUAAGUGUUUCUAGAGCAUUUUGGGCAAGGUGGGCAAUGGCCAAGGACCCCAUUUAAUAAAAAAAACUACAAGAAUAAAUAAGGUUUCUUUUUCAAUUAUAUUUUAUGAAAUGAAAAUUGUCCUCCUGUUAGACAUAUAUGAAUAAUAAUAAAAUAUAUUUCUUAAAAAUUAUAUUUUAAAAGGUUUAUGGAGUUAUUAAUCAUGCUCAAUAAUUUUUACAGUGUGCAACUUCAAUAUGAAAAUGGAGAUUUAUAUAAUAGAUUGCAUAAGAUUUGUUAUCAGUUAAUUGUAUUUUACCAUUAUUAUUGGCUCUUGUGAUUUUAGAUAAAGCUGGUUCUUGAUCUUGCAGGCAUGUGCUCUAAGUCCGCCCAAAGUUUCAUCAAAUCCUGCGUUUUCUUGAGAUUUCUGCGAGGUUUUUGUUGAAGGUGCACGAUAUUGUUGAAGGGCAAAUCCUUCCAUGCGUGUCCAAAAUUCGAAGUCAUUUUCAAUUCAAGGUCCACGAUAUAUUUUUUAUAAUAUAAUAAUGCUAGAACUACGCUCGAUCUCCUCAGCAUGCAUCGAGUAAUCGCGUUUGGAUUUCGAGUUCGACUGAUUUGAAAUGCUCGGUGGCUGUGUUGUGUGCAUGUAG